CAUGUUGUGGGAAAGAUUGAAAAGGUGUAGAAGGUAUUAUGUUCUAGGCGAGAAGAUGUAAUAAAUUGUAGGCAAAUAAAAAACUGUAUCGACAUCUCGUUUUUUUCCCAGCCCAUAUUUGCAGUGGAUAUGCUGUAAUGCUAUUGCCACAACAAAUAAAAAUUUACAUACUGUUUAGCGUCAUCGAAUUAGUGGAAGUGGUUGUUGUGCGUUUGUUGUACAUAUCCCUCAAAGAAUAAAUACCAGAAUCCCAUAUCCAUUUUCCCAAAAGAAUUUAAACACAAAUAGUACUACUACUUACAACAUGGUUCCGCAGAAGACAACAAAGUCUUGUUGUGGUGAUAAAGCAACUCCAUCGGCAAAAUAGAGGUCUCGAAUGAGUACUUGGGUCUGAUUUGUUGAUGGAUCAACACUAAUGACUCUUCAAUAAGGCCGACCCUCCAAAGUGUUAAGCAUGUAACUACUUAUAUUGUAUUUGUAUGAAGCAUCUGUAAAGUAAAUGACGCCUUUUUGAGUAACAUCAACACCAUUAAUUAGUCCAUCCUUCAGUUUCAUCAAUCAACCAUUCUUUAACUCCCUCCUUAGUGACCUUCAUUAGACCCUGCCAUGUAACAAUUUUAGCAUCUAGGUGUUUGACAUGUCAACGAGUGAAGGUCGAUCAUCAGAGACCGUCAGGGUUACUUCAGCCUUUGUCUAUCCCUCAGUGGAAGUGGGAGCACAUUUCCAUGGAUUUUAUUGAUGGUUUGCCUAGAUCACGGGGAGGCAAUGAGUCCAUUUGGGUUGUCGUUGAUCGACUGACUAAGUCAGCUCAUUUUCUUCCUAUUUCUAUGAAUAGGAAUGCAGAUAAGCUAGCAAAGAAGUAUGUGAAGGAGAUUGUCAGACUACAUGGUGUUCCGGCUAGCAUUGUUUCAGACAGAGAUCCUAUAUUCACUUCUGAGUUCUGGGGUAGUUUUCAGCGUGCCAUGGGUACGAAGCUUAAUUUGAGUACUGCUUAUCAUCCCCAGACAGAUGGACAGACUGAACGGGUAAAUCAGGUCCUAGAGGAUAUGUUACGUGCUUGUGCACUCAGCUUUGGUGGAGAAUGGGAAGAACAUCUACCUUACGCGGAGUUUGCUUACAAUAACAGUUUUCAGGCGAGUAUUGGUAUGGCACCAUAUGAGGCACUGUAUGGUAGGCCAUGUAGAUCACCGGCUUGUUGGGCGGAGGUUGGUGAUACUGCGAUUCUUGGACCAGUGAUGGUUCGCGAGACUACAGAGAAAGUAGAUAUCAUUCGACAGAGAUUGAAAACGGCUCAAAGCCGAAUGAAGAGUUAUGCAGAUAAUAGGAGGAAGCCACUCGAGUUUGCUGUAGGGCAGAAAGUGUUGCUGAAGAUCUCCCCGAUGCGUGGAGUAAUGAGGUUUGGUAAGAAGGGUAAGCUGAGCCCUAGGUAUGUGGGACCGUAUGAGAUCACUGACAGAGUUGGACCGUUGGCUUACAGGCUGGCACUGCCACCUGCCUUGGAAAAGAUACAUAAUGUAUUCCAUGUUUCUAUGUUGAGAAUGUGGAAAGGAGAUGAUAAGGAUGAAGAGGAGGAAGGAGUAGACUACGCGCAGUUAGAUAUUUAUGAUCCAGAGCAGUUAGAAAUUAAUGAAGAUGUUACCUACAGAGUGAGGCCAAUUAUUAUCAUUGAUAGAGAUGAGAAACGACUAAGGCGAAAGACAUUGAAACUGGUAAAAGUGCAGUGGAGUGAUGAUCCGAGCGAUGUUACAUGGGAGCUGGAGGACAAGGUGCGAGCUAAGCAUCCGGAGUUGUUCGAUUGAUCUUUCUUCCAAAUCUCGAGGCCGAGAUUUCUUUUGAGGUGUGUAUGAAUGUAAACCCCCUCUUUUAUGUUUUAUGCUAAUUUUAAUUUGGAAUUAAAAGUAAUUGGGUUAAAGUCCCUGGACCAAGGGCUUAAGCAUAAUUACUGUAAAGUAGUGGACUAUGGUUUAAAUAACCCAAACUUGGAGAAAACAGCCCACGAUCAGAUGUGGAGUUAUUGCGAACCGUUAGAUGUGAAAACACGAUCAAUUAGCUUAGGUUAUGCGUUUUUAUUUAUGGGAGCAAAGAUCUUAAAGUGGUUUUGCGAUAAAAGAAAAGAGUUUGCAGAGAGAGAAAAGUGAGAGAGGGCGGCGCUGCGAUCCGAGCUUAGAAGUGGAAAGAGAGGAUACGAGGGUUUAAUUUGCGAAAAAAAGGAAGAAAAGAAAAAGAGGAUUUGUGUGGCAGCUGUGAAGAGAAGUUGCAGAGUGAGAGAGAGAGGAAGAGGACGAACAGCAGCAGUAGCAGGUGAGUGGAUGAUAUUUUGUUAGAUUAGUUUGUUUUAGUUAAACUAGAGUUUGACUUUAGUGGUGGGGGUAGGAUAUGGUUGUUGUUGCCUGUUGGUUUUUGAUUUUAGAGUGGGCAUAUACAUAUGUUUAUAUAUAUAGAUAUAUAGUUAUGUUUGGUGAAAGCAGUAAUCUGUUGUAAAAAAAAAAAAUUAUAAAAUCUGUGCUCUUUUGAUUAUAUGAAAAAGAAAUGAUUUUGAAUGCAUCUGCUGGUUAGGUGGGGUUAAUAGAAUUUUUUUUAUUAUUUAUUGGAGUUGUAUGGUUGGAGUACAUUGUUGAUAACAUGGAAAUUAUAAUAGAAGGUACAUGGUGGUACUGUACAUGUAUCCAGAUUGUCGAGUUUUCGAGAUCGCUUUUGGAUUAUUAUUUAUAUAUAUAUGUGGACUAGAAAUAUAUACACCGAAAAAUAUAAUUUUAAUGAAACUGGGAUUAAAGAAAGCUAUAUAGUCUUAUGGGUACAGUAAAUAUUAUUCGCUGAAUGUAUUUUGUUUCUGGCUGUAAAGUAGAUAGUAUUGUUAUUUUGAAAGAAAUAUGAAAUGUGUUAAUAUUAAAUUCGAGGAAUUUAUUGUUAAAUGCCUUGGAAUGGCUUUAUAUACCAUGGACGGUAUUUGACUAAUUUGGAAAAUGCGAAAGGAAUACAAAUGGAUUGGAUGUGAAGUUGAUGUGAAAUUUUAUUGUCGAGUGUUACUUGAUUUAUGAUAGUUUAGAUGUUUUGGUAGUCGCCCAAGCAUUAGUACAUUUGCCACACCUGUGGAAUUAGGAUUAAGAAAAAAAUUAGAUAUCACCCUAGACGGCUUAGCCUGCGGGUUGACAUUUGGAAUAUAUUUUUGUUGGGUAUUUCCUAGACGGCUUAGCCUGCGGAACUGACCCUACAGACCUUCAUAGCCUUCGGGGUUGGUCUGGGCGCCACAUUAGAAAGCUCAAGGGAGCUAGUAGAGGCCAUGAGUUAGGCAUACGUCGAGGCUAGCCAAAGCUUGCAGGUGAGCACCCACUUGGGUUUUGGUUUCCGCGUAGAGGGUCUUAACCAUGGUCAAGGCACACUGGUGCAGUGUGGGUAUGGCAAAUGUGUGGAGUGCAUCCUGUGGGAGGUGUACUAGUGAUUGGGUAUAGGUUGUGAAAUGUUGUUUGGGUGUAAUGAUUGACUUGUAGUGAUUGAGAUACAGUGUCGAGACUUGAGAUGCCAUGAAUUGUAUAUUAUUGUACUAACACAGUUUUGCAGGAGGAUAGGUCAAUUAACAUUUCUUGCAGCGCUCGACCUAUCCUAAUAGGAGGCGCAGCUCAGGUAAUGUAUUAUUAUAAUAUAUAAUAUGUAUUUAGUAAACGAGAUAAGUGUAUAAAGACCGCGGAGUCUGUUAUAUUAUUGUUUUUGGGGAAUGGAGUUCCCUACCCUUGUCUACUCAUACCAGCAUAAUUUGCUGACCCAUGUUGUUUGUUUUGCACGUGGGUACGUAUCCUUAUGGAGCGUAGGCGGAAGAGAGGAGCCAGUUGAGUACGCUCAGGAGCAACACCCGGAGGCUCGGGUAGAUCCAGUUGUUCGGGAGGGAGUUUGAGAUUUGCAGGAGUUAUCAUUUCAGAGUAGGUUUAGUUCUUUGAUUUGUCGUUAGCUGAUUACUCAAGUUUAUUAUUUCAUUUAUGGGAUUAUUAUUGAUGGGGAAGACAAUACCUCAGUAGAAGCUGUUGAAUUUUAUUAUUGGAGUUGUGUAAUGCAAUAUUUGGAGUUCUUGGAUAAUAUAUGGAAAGACUCCUUUCACGACAAACGGGUCAAGUAUGCGCUUGAAAGGCGAACCAGUCAAAAAGAUGUGUACAGGAAUAAGGCACAAGAAAAUAUUAUAAGGAAAUUCAUUGCUUCUUAUAAUCAGUAUUCAGACAUCAAUCUUACAGUGUAUACUUGAGUUCACAGAACCGAAUUUAUUAGAGUACAAUACGUAGUAAAAGCAGGUUAAUAUGUGGGAGGUUCACAUACCUUGUCAAAAUUGUUGAGGCCUUUCGCAGUGAUGGGUACCUUGAUACAAAUGCCAGAAAAUAGUCUUUCCCUGAUAAAUACAAAGAAGUAAGCAUCAAACAAAUUUCUUGAAUGAAUAUUGUCCUAAGCUUGUUCAUUUUUCCUAGUAUUCUUUUGAUUUCUGUUAAGUAUGCAUGUUGUGGAAAAUAUUGAAGAGUAAAAAUAGAGUGAAAUAGAGCUACAAAUCUAUUACUAAUAUUAUAGCAAUCCAAAAUUUGCCGCCUCCAUCAAAGCGAAUGUUGUCUCGAAACCCUGGCAAUUUGUCAACAAAGUCAUAGUUAGCUCCUUUCUUCUCCGCCUAGAACAUAAUACCUUCUACAGUUCUUCAACUUCGCCUGCAAUUUAAUCAUGUUAAGCAAAUGUUUUCUUAAUCUGUCGAUGAAGUUUUUAUUACAUUACAGAAGUAUUUUCGUGCUGAUUGUCUAUGCAUCGUAUACGAAAUCCUAUUUGUUUCCGACUCCACAGUUGCAUUUAUUGCUGUUCCCCCCCCCCCAAAAAAAAAAAAAAAAAAAAGAAAAAGAACCCAUAUCCAAAUUUAUUUUUACCCAAAAGAAUUUGAGCAGAUAUAGUACUACUACUUACAACAUGGUUUUGCAGAUGACAACAUAGUCUUGUUGUGUUGAUAAAGCAAUUCCAUUGGAAAAUAAAGGUCUCGGACCAGUACUUGGGUCCGAUUUUUUGAUGGAUCAAAGCUAACGAGUCCUGCAAAAGGUUGUUGUAACUACUUAUAUUGUAUUUGUAUGAAGCAUCUGUAAAGUAAACGACGCCAUUUUGAGCAAUAUCAACACCAUUAAUUAGUCCGAAUUUUAAUCCUUCAGCUUCAUCAAUCAACUAUUCUACAACUCCCUCCUUAGUGAUCUUCAUUAGACCCUGCCAUUUAAUAAUUUUAGCAUGUAGUGUACAACAACUAAGAGCUUAUAUGGCUAUAAUCGUGAUAUUUUUCAACUCACCUUGUGUGCCUCAGCAAUGAUGAGUUCCUUAUGUGGUCCAAAUGCAAGUCCAAGAGGUCAACAUGAAUUUAAUACCGUUGUUUCACUCGCAGUCUCAGUCAAGGUGCUUCGCUUGAUCCAUCGAUGACUACAACCUGUAUAGACUCCAGCUUCCUUAUCAUAGACACAAGAUCCUCAGGUCCUGGUAAGAACCUAUCAGGCUUCAACCGAGGGAUAAACACCGGCUAUCAACACACAAGGCAGAGCUCAGGGAGUUGAAUCCAAGGAUGGGAAUCCCUCACUCAAAGGAAAGAUCCAGAGGACUUGUAUCAAGGUGGCUCUUUUAUUUGUUGAUCCAAAAUGCAUAAUGUAUCGUAAAUGAUGGUUCUUGCUGGAUGAAGAAAAUCCCCAGCUACAAAAACAUGCCUUUCACACUCUACCUCAAUCCAACUGCAUCCAGCUGGUUUCUUCAGAUCUUUAUCCUUCAUCAAUUUCCUCAAUUCCUUAACCCCAUCCCAUCUUGCAUCUGCUGCAUAUAUAUUUGACAUCACUACAUAGUUUCCAAUAUUAUUUGCUUCAACCUUGAAAAGAUGAUCUGCAACUGUUCGCCCAAGCUCCACCUCACGUUGGUUUCGACAAGCACCCAGCAGAGUUCCCCACACAUUGGCAUUAGCUUCAUAUGGCAUUGCAGUUAUAAGAGAAUAUGCAUCUUUCAAACGCCCUCCCCGUGCGAGAAGAUCCACAGUGCAGGCAUAAUGCUCCAUUGUGGGCUUCAUUCCAUGUACCCUAUCAAUGGAUUCAUAAAUGCUCAAGCCUUCAUUCACAAGACCGGCAUGACUACAGGCUGAUAAAACAGUCGUUAAGAUAACAUGAUCAGGCUUAAUCUCCAAGUCGAUCAUGUUGUCGAAAACCCGGAGUGCCUCCUUUCCCAUACCAUGCAUUGCAUACCCACCAACCAUUGCUGUGAACAUAACAAGAUCUUUCUGGAGACUCAUUUGAAAGAGCUUCUGAGCACUGUCAAUGCUUCCACAUUUUGAGUACAGAUCCAAGAGAGCUCCUUGCAACCGUACAUCUUGAAAAGAAGACCUGAUAAUGUAUCCAUGGCAUUGCCUCACCAGGUGCACAGAAGCCAAACGGGCACAUACUGGAAGAACACUCAUAACACUCACCAUAUCAGGUUUCAUUCCCAACAAUUGUAGCUCGUGGAACAGAUGGACAGCAUGUUUGGGACACUCAUUCUCAGCAUAUGCUCUGACCAUAAGAUUCCAUGUUGUGAGAUCCUUUUGAGACAUCUUACUAAAAAUUAUUUCAGCAUCAUCCAAGGACCCACGACUGACAUAGCCUGAUAUCAUUGUGUUACCAGUAACCACAUUUGUCAUGCCCGACAAACUUUCAAAAGUCUUAAACGCGUAUUCCAUGUCCCCACAUUUAGCAUAUGCAUCAAGUAUUGCAUUUCCAACAGUUGGUUCACGAUAACUCUUGAACAAAGAUGCUCUAAUUGAAUAUGCAUGAACUUCUUUAACUUUUUUUACAAUUGAAACAGAACAAACAAAGUGAAGAAUGGAUAAUAUAGUAAUGGAGUCAGGCCGAAUACCUUCCUUGAACAUUUGGCAUAAUAGGUUAAAGAACUGAGCACUAUUUUCACUCUCUGAGUAAGCGUCAAGCAUUGCAUUCCACGAUAUCAGAUCUUUUCUAGGGAUCUUUGAGAAUGUCUGGAAUGCAGACAAUACCUCGUCACAUUUUGCAUAAAAACUUAUCAGGGCAUUUCCUACAGCUGUAUCUUCACAUAAUAAAGGGUGCGUACGAAUAUAUUCAUGUAUCUUCUGUCCCUCCUCGAACUUCCGCAAUUGGGCACAGACAGGAAGGACGCUGAUGCAGGUGACAGAAUCUGGCCCCUGUAUCCCUGUCGAAAGCAGUUCAUGAAACAACUCCAAUGACUUAUGGGAUCCACCACAUAAGGCAUAUCCACCAAUGAUGGCAUUCCAAGAAACUAUGUCUCUGACUUUCAUCAUUCGGAACAAAUGUUCUGCUUCUUUUAAGCUUCCAAUCCUUGAGUAUAAACUCAAGAGAGAGUUGCAGACUGAAACAUUAGACCCUAACUCUAACCUACGUAACACAUAACAGUGGAUCUCCUUUCCGAAAUAGUAUGCCUUGUCAUGAUCCACAGAGGCACAAACGGACAGAAUAUUCGCAACUGUUGCAUAAUUAGGCUCAAUUGGACUCAUCACCAUCUGUUGAAACAUUUUAAACGAAAUCUCAAAUAGCCCAUUCUCAGCAUAUCCAGCAAUUAUAGCAUUCCAAGAAACUACAUCUUUGCGAACAGUACCAAGAAAUGCAUAAUAAGCGUCACCCAGCACACAACCACAUUUGGCGUACAUAGAUACCAAUGCAUUCCCAACAAGAGUCUCUGAUUCCAAUCCAGACUUAAUAACAAACCCGUGAACACUUCUCCCAGAGCCUAACUCUUGUAACCUUGCACAAACAGGAAGAACAAUCGCAACACUAAUGGCAUUAAUCUUAGGGUUCUCCUUGCAUUCAUGCAUAGCAUUGAACAAUCUCAUUACAUUGGUAGAGUCAACAAAGGUUUUUGAGCUGGCAUACCCCGACAAAAGAAUAUUCCAAGUAACAAUAUCAUUCUUUUGCUUCAUUCGAUCAAAUAAUUUCUGACAAUCCUGUAAACCACCACAUUUAGCAUACAUAUUUAUUACAGCCUUCGAAACCACUUGACUCGACUCAUCAUAGCUCAACUUAAUGCCAUAUCCAUGAAAAGACUUGCCUAAAAAAAUGUCUGACAAAGCAGUACAUGACUUGAGUAAAGCAGCAAAAGUUACUUCAUCAGGUCCAAGUUCCAGUCGUAAAGACCUUCUUCUUUGAGUUAAGAAAAUACCAAGAGCUUCUUUAUGCAUGGAAUUUGAAGUAUAUUGCCUAAUACUAGCAUUCCAUGAUGUUUUAAAAUUUUCUGAGUCAGGAAUUUCAUCAAACAAUUCUUGUGCAUUGCAAGAACUCCUUGAUACUGCUGUAACAAAUGAUCUGAUGAUAAUUAUACAACAAUCUAACUCUUCUAAUAGUAAUAAUUUUGCUCUGACAUAACUUCCAAAACAGCCGAAAGCAGAUUUCAAAGCCAUAUAAAUUAUAAAUGACUUCUUCUUCUGCUAAUCUGCCUAAGCAAAAGUGAUAAGCAGUUUAAAAGCAAAAUAAGUCAAAAAACACGUGCAAUGGCACGUGCGUUAUGAACAAAGAUCUUCUUCUCUGUAGUGUUCUCUUUCUUCUCUACUGUUUGUUUGUUUCUUUCUUUCUUCUUAAAUUAUUCUAAUGGAAAUUACAAUUUCUUAUAAAUUUCUUCACCAUUCAAAUCUUUUUCUCUCUCCUCAAUCUUCCUCACAAUUCAAUUUCAAAUCAAAUUCACCCAAAAAUCUUUCGUUUCUACAGAAAAAGUCGAAAAAAUCGAUACUUUGUUCAUUCUCUGUUUCUUGUUCUGCUUUAUUGAAUUCAACAAAUUAUGGUGGAUGGGAAGAUUUGAAGUUAAUUGAAGAUUCAAAUUAUAAUCAAUGUUCUAGUAAGUUUGAUCAGUUUCGAAAUUUUCUAGUUUCUUUAGGAAUUGAUGAUAGAAAGCAUGUUUUCAUGUUUAUUUUAGGUUUUGUUUCUGCUUUAGCAAUUUCUAGGGUUAGGGUUUCUUCAAUUUUAGUUUUUCCAGCUACUGUUUUGGUUUUUGCUUUGGGAUUUUCAUUGGGGUUUGUUCGAAGAGGAAAUGAUGUGGGUUUUUCAAUGAAGAAAGUUGUUAAAGAUGAGAAAUUGAGAAAUUUAGUGGAGUUAUUUAGUGAGUUGAGUGUUAAGAUGAGUACUUUAGAAAAUGAAAUGAAAGGGGAUUUGGAAUUGGAUAAUGUGGAAAUUGGUGGAUUUGAUAACUAUCAAAAUGCGAUUAAGUUAUUGAGUUUAGAUAUAAUGCGAGGGAAGAGUAUUGUCAAGACUUAUGUUAAUGAUAUGGGUAGUUUUAGUAAUGUAAAUGAGUUUAAACGAGUGUCGUUAGAUGACAUACAAACUGAGAAAAAUUUGAAUCAGAAAUCGAGUAAGAAGAAAAGAGAAUCAUUUGCAAGCUAUUUUGAUGCAUUCCAGUUUAUUGGAGGUCUGUUUCAGGAAAAGGCUAGUGUGGUAAAACCCAAUAAAGUAAAAGAAACAGCCAAGGAUGACUCCAUAGAGCCAUUGCGCUCGAAAGUGAAGAAUGAUCAGAAUCAUGUUAGUGUUUCGGUCAAGGGAAUGGAAGACAUGAAGGCAGAGUCUGACAGGAAAAUAGGAAGCACUUUAAAGGACUCUUCACAGUUGGAUUCCUUGAGGAAUCAAGGUUUGAGUCAGCAUGUAGCGGAAUUUUCAGUUGAUAAAGCUCGAAAAGAAGAUGUAAUUCCAGAAAUGAUGAAUGGAAAUUCCACAAAGAAGGCUAAUGAUAUUCAGACACUAAGCAACAACAAAGAGUUUAGUAGUCAGAAUUAUAGUAUGCCAUUCAUGAACAAUCAGGAAAAAUCCGUCGAUAUAGGACAUCCAAAUGGUACAGAAAUGUUUAUACCCCAUGAUAACUUGUAUGAUCCAUUGGAUCUUGGUAUCAAUACCAGAUCAAGUGAAAUUGAUAUGAGGUCAUUCACUAUGAACUCGAAAGCAUCCUUCCAUCAAGAAGAAAUUCUGAAGGCAUUGAAUGGGUAUCAUGUGCCUUCUUAUAGAAGGGGAAAACCCGAAAACGUAAGUUACGAUUUUGAGUUAAUGGGGAAUGGAGAAAUAUCAGUUGAUCCAACUGACUUGGAUAAUAAACAAGCUGCAUAUGAUUCAGAAGAGGAUUCGGAACUGCCAUCAUCUUCAGUGGUUUCAGAAGAUUUGGUGUUCAGUAAGCACCUGACAGAGGCUACUAAUCUUCUGAGAGAAGCCAGAGAAUGUUUAAAGGGUAAAGCUGAUGAAGAUAGGGCGGAAGUAAAAUUGUAUAAAUCUGCUAAAUUACUCUCCAGAGCAACAGCCAUGAAACCGAUGAGCUUACUGGCUGUAGGUCAAUUAGGAAACACUUUUCUUCUUCAUGGAAAACUCAAAUUAAGGAUUAGCCGUGAGCUUAGAAGGCAUCUCUCCAAACGUGACUCUUCAUUCUCAAGGGUUAACAGUAGCGUACCUCUCAAGGAGUUAGAUGUGAAAGGCAUGAGCAGGGAUAGAAUUGCUUCAACUCUGAUUGAUGUGUGCGAAGAGUGUGAAGGCCUCCUUGUUGAGGCGGGAAGACAGUACAGAAUGGCAUUAUCAAUAGAUGGGAGUGAUGUUAGAGCCUUGUAUAAUUGGGGGAUUGCUCUUUCCUACCGUGCUCAGUUGAUUGCAGAUGUCGGACCGGUAAGUAUCCUUUAAUGAGAACUUCUCUCUCUCAAACUCAUUUGUCAAUUAAGUUUCUUAUCAGAUUUUUAUGGACCAAAUUAAUGUCUGAUGUGAAGCAAUGGAAUGACCAACAUACUAAUGCUAAAUUUACAUACACUAAACCAUGCCGAUAAGGCUUUACCCUCUUGCCUCGGGGUAUCUUUGUAGUAUCCUUUUCGUCGAAAUAUUUGCCUAUGCUUACCUUUUAUCUUAUCAAUGGAUGCUUACGUAGAUAGACUCAGGUGCUGCAACCUCCAAAUAGGUCACCAUACAUAAAGGUCUGUUAAAUUGGGAAAUUGAUUUCCCGGUAUAUGUUUUUUGAGGGUUCAGAAUGGUCAUUUCUCAAGAAGAUUUAAAUAAAACUGAAAACUCCUUUCUUCCCUCGUUUUCUCUCGUGCCAGCUUCCAAUAUUCCAUGGCUAUCCUCCACUUUUCUCAGUAAAUCUGUUUACUGGAUAAAAUAGUUUAUCCAUUUGUUUGUUUGUGAAGAAAUGGAUCACAAACGUCACACAACAAAAUAAAAAAGCUCUAGGUGGUCUAUGAUUUGGUGGUACUGCCUACAACCCACCCCCUUGAAUUAUAAAAACGAAGCAGAGAAAGAAAAUGACCACUAAUUUAAAUAUCGAAAGGCAGAUGAUCCCAACUAUCCAUUUAAAAGGCAUCCAUUAAUUCAAGGACUUGACGAUGAGGGUUUUCUGGAUAAAUGCGAACAAUACAAUGCUGAAGCUUUUUUUAUUUCUCACAUACAGUUUAUUAUUAUUAUUGCUGAUGUAUAUAUUUGUUACUCUUGUUAUUUCAGGAAGCGGCAUCUGAUGCUGAUAAGGUGUAUUUGGCUGCGAUUGACAAAUUUGAUGCAAUGAUGUCAAGGAACAAAGCAUAUGCACCUGAUGGUAAGAUUCCUCACUCUCUGUAGCGUAGCUUAAGCAACUUAAUGAUGGGCAAUUAUGCUAGCAUGCAAGAGUACUGAAUUGAAUACCUUCUUCUCAGUCGCAUACCAUUUUGUAUCUUGUAUCUGAAUUUAAAAGGAGUACCAGUGUCUUAAGCUUAGAAUUCUUUCAUUGCAAAUGUUAUUUGUCUAAAAUCAAUCAAUUUCUUCGUAGUGUUUCAGAAUGCACCGGCAGAUACAGUCUUGCUUUACCCUAAAACAAUAAUUUUAUUUUAACGUGAUGACCUAUUGCAGCUUUGUUCAGAUGGGGUGUGGCAUUGCAACAACGGUCGCGUUUACGGCCAAGCAAUGCUAAGGAGAAGAUGAAGUUGCUGCAUCAAGCAAAGAGUCUCUUUGAGGAUGCACUCUGUAUGGAUUCUAACAAUGUUCAAGUAAGAGAAGCUCUCUCGUCAUGUAUAUCCGAGCUGAACUAUAGGCGUUUCUAGCUGUGAAAGUACACCCUUAAUAAGGUUGUUGAACCAUUACAUCUUGCUGCUUCAUAUCCUUCUGUAGAAAUUGGGGCAACAAUUACACUGUACAAGAAUAACACGUCAGAAAAAUGUUGUAAGCAUCCAUUUGCUUUUUAUAGCCUCUUAAUAAAAGUGUUAUAUUUUUCUGUGAACCAAAUUUCUCGACCAUACACUGUUAUUAACAAAAUGUGUAUCGUCUACUGAAUGUUUUUCUGUUCAGCCUGAAUUUUGAGUUCGUAUGCUUAACAUGUAAUAUUUAAUGGCCGUAGCUUGAAGCUAUACAUUGGGGAGGUCUGGAUUUCCCUUUACUCUUUAUCUAUAAAAAUAAAGAAUUGUUAUAUUUUAUCAAGUUUUGCCAUAAUCAGUUUUCUAUGAAUGUCAGUAAAAGCUAAAUAUAAGCCUACAGUCAAGUUCUUUCCACAUUUAACACAUUACUGCUUGUCUCUUCUUGGGGGGGGGGGGGGGGGGGGGGGAAAUGAACACCUGAUAGUAAGAAUAUCAUGCAGUGUCAUACUGUCAUGUUGAUAACCAUAUUGAUACAAACUUAUGAAAUCCACUAUGUGUCUGAGUAACAGUAAUAGAGACCUGCUCUUGAAGCUUCUAUCACUGCUUACCCACCAACAAAGAGAACCAGUUAAUAUCUGCAACAGUAGUUUGGCAUUAUUGUAAAAAUGGGUGAUGGGGAGAAGGACAUGUCUCAGCAUAGCAGGUCUUAAUCCUUUUAUUAUCAAACUGUUGGACUUGUAGACAUAGACCCUGAAAACUAAGUAUAUGAUUUUCUUGGAUAAAUAUCUUGUGAUACAGUAUUUUUUUUUUUUUUUUUUGAUAAGAGUCAUUUUAUUAGAAGGGAAAAUACAACCUGAUCCGUAUUCAACGUCAGUUACACAACCUGCUAAGCUUAAACUCUAAUAUCGAUAUCUACUAAUGUAUUGAUCUGCAAAAAAUAGAUAUAUCGGGAUAUAUUGGAAUCUAUCGGUGGAUAUUUUACGUCGAAUGUAUCGAUUAAUAUAUCAAUUUGUUAUACAAAAUAUAUAUAAAAUCAAAUUUGGAAGUAUAUUAUCAUAGUAUUUACCUAAAAAACAUCAUAUCUACUAAAAAUGGAAUAAACAAAUUAUUUCCAAAAAAAAAAUUGAAAAAAAAUAAUAUUUCUAGAAAAUAUUGGAAAAUAUCAGUAAAUAUCGGAAAAUAUCGAAAAUAUCGGGAAAUAUCAAAAAAUAUCGGCCGAUAUUUUACAGAAACAUCAAGGGGUAAAUAUCGAAAAUGUAUCGUAUCGUUUUUUUAAAAACCGAUAUAUAUCGCGAUAUAUCGGGAUAUAUCGCGAUAUUUUGUACUAUGAGUGCAAUAUAUUGUUCCUACACCAAGAGACCAUUCAGCAGUUCAAACCAGCUCAGCAACACAUCCUGAAAGCAAUAAAACUUCCUUCCUGGCCAACACCCAACCCAGUACCAUAAUGUCGCUUUUGCUUCCAUGCACAACCUUUCAAGAGAUAAACCAGCUCAGCAACACAUCCUGAAAGCAAUAAAACUUCCUUCCUGGCCAACACCCAACCCAGUACCAUAAUGUCGUUUUUGCUUCCAUGCACAACCUUUCAAGAGAUACCAUACGAUCCCUGAAAGUCUUCUCAUUCCUUACCUUCCACAAAUUCCAGAUGACAGAAUACGGUAGAAGAUCCCAUAGGCGUUUUCCCAAGAUGCAAACCUUUAGCUUUUGGCCAAGCAAUUAACAACUCUUCCACUGAAUCAGAAGUUAACACCAAGGAAUAACAUGAUUUUCUAGGCUGCAGUAGCUCAUGCCAAAGGUGCAAUGCCAAAGAACAGUGCAGAAACAGAUGAGAAAUUGUUUUAUUUAGCAACCCACAUAAGAUGUAUACCGGAUCGACAUUAGUGCCUCUGUGAAUAAGAUUAUCCUUGGUGAGAGUUCUAUUAAAAAUUGUAUACCAAAAAAAGAUCUUACACUUGGCUGGAAUCUUGACUGGCCACACCAACUGAUAAGGAAAGUGUUGCAUUGUGACAGUCUGAUCUCUUUCAAUCUCCACCAACUGAUAGGGAAAGUGAUACAGUAUUGUUCUUGAGCUUCCUAUUGUUUGGGACUUCACUUCAUUUUUCCUGUAUGCAAAAUCCUUUCAUAGAAAGGAGCUGGUAUUUUACUUUGAUAACCAAUAGUUAAUUACUUCAAAUCUUUUGGCUUAAAUCUGCUGGAAAGAAUCAGCUAGACGACAUGACAUUAAAGAGCAGUUGGUUAAAUCAUACAUCAUUUUAAGAAAAGUUGAGUUCAAUUUAAGGUAUAUACAGUCGUGAGAUGAAGAUCAUGUAUACGUAUAACUAUGUAAGCAACCGGCAAAAUCCAUCAUUGUACACUUCUGUACUCUAUUAGCAUUUAGCAACAACAAAUUUUAGUCCAGUUUCUCUCAUACCUUUGAGUUUUUAUAAUUUUAAGCAGUGAUCAACCCAUGAUUUGACAUAAAUAUUGAAUUUGACAUUACAGCCCUGCUUGUUUAGGUUGCAAAAAAAGACAAAUCUUUACCCAUCUAUUAUUAGAGUGGUCUCUCCCAUAUUUAACUCUUUAAUUUGAAUGGUCCCCCAACUAAUCUAGCUUAAACUAUAUUGAUCCCCAACCUAAACCUUAGGUAAGUAUGAGAUAAUUAUAGAUGAUCCCCUACUAAGUUUAUUAGAAAAAUAUGUGAAAUCUUUGCACUUUUAAAAUAUCACCAAAUUUUUGCAUAAAAUUUGUUCAUAAAUUUAAGAGAUUUUUGGACAUACCGAAAGUCGAAAUUUGAGAUACCCCCUGAGAUCAUAGUACAAAAUAUCGUUAUCGACUAAUGUAUCGAUCUCCAAAAAAUAGAUAUAUCGGGAUAUAUUGGAAUCUAUCGAUGGAUAUUUUACAUGGAAUGUAUCGACUAAUAUAUCAAUUUGUUAUACAAAAUAUAUAUAAAAUCAAAUUUGGAAGUAUAUUUUCAUAGUAUUUACCUAAAAAACAUCAUAUCUACUAAAAAUAGAAUAAACAAAUUAUUUCAAAAAAAAAAAAUUUGAAAAAAAAAUAAUAUUUCCAAAAAAUAUCGGAAAAUAUCAAAUAUAUCGAAAAAUAUCGGCCGAUAUUUUACAGAUACUUUAAGGCGAAAAUUUCGGGAAUAUAUCGUAUCGUUUUCUUUGAAAACCGAUAAAUAUCGCGAUAUAUCAUGAUAUAUCGCGAUAUUUUGUACUAUGCCUGAGAUACCCCCAUUUGAAAAAAAAUUUGAGAUACCCCAAUUCAAGAUGUGGUGUUAUCUUAGAUGUCCAUCAUAAAACUCACCUACGGUUGUAAAGCUCUUCUGUCUUGAAUUGGGGGUAUCUCAAAUUUCAACUUUCAAAUGGGGGUAUGUCCAAAAAUCUCUAAAUUUAAUUAUCAAGAAUUUCGAGCAUAUUAAAUUAGGCUAAAUUUCAUGCAAAUUUUUGGGGGAUAACAAAGCAGGGCCUACUAGUGGAGUGCAAACUCUAUCUUCACUGUUGAAAUUCCUGGUGUUUUCUCUACACAUGUUGAUUUUUUUUUACUUUAAACAUUUAGAGCACUGCGCAGAAACCAUAUUAGCAUUAUGGAUUGGAUGAUCUCCAUGACAUGGAGAUAAAUCAUACAUCAACUCCAUUCAGCAAAGAGCAUCACUCCAUUUGCUUGUUUUUUCACUUGUACAUAUUUGCAUCUAAACCAUUGGAACAUUUCUUUAUUAUUAAUAAAAUGAAAUUAAUACCUUCUAUACCAAUUCAUUCAAAACACACAGAUUUCCCGGUAAUAAAUCAAGCUUCAUUUUGGUCUGCAACUCUCUCUCUCUCUCUCUUCAAUUCAAUUCUGUUUAUCUUGGUUGUAGUGCAAACUGCAGAGUCGAUUUAAAGCCGCCAACAUCACAAAAUGACGAAAAUCCUGCAUUAUUCUUCUUCUUCCGAUUCAUUCGCUUCAUCAAUCAACAACAACAACAACAACUUUAUCUUACUUAUCUUUCUCUUCUCUUUCUUUCUUUCUUUCUUACCUAAUAAUAGUAAUAAUGUUUGGUCUUUCUUUUUCUCUCUCUCUUCACGGAUUCUCCGUCUUCUUCACACUUCAUUUUUCUUCUUAAUUCACGAUUCUUUCUUCCAACAACAACACUAAACCGAUUCACAUGCCGAACUAUUACUUCUCAUUGUCCGUACACUUUCACUUUCUUACUUCUUUAUUUCAAAUCUACCCAAUUUUGUUUUUUUUUUUUCUCUAUUAAAUUUCAUAUUAAUUUCAUUAAUUUUUUUUUUCUAGAUCUGUUUCUUAUUCAUCCAUUUUAAGUAUGAAUCAAAGCUGUUUUCUAUAUAUUGAAAUGAUUUAUUUUUUCUUUUCUGCAAUCAAAUCAUGUUGUCUUGUUUCCUAUCUAUUUUAAUUUAAAACAAAAAAUUAAAAUUAAUUUAUUUGUAAUUUUAAAUUUAUUAAACGAUGAGGCGGAUUAUAUUACCAGCUUCUGCUGCAAUAUUAGCAAUAAAAUUAGGAUUGGAUGAAGGAAAUGUAUGGGCGAAAGAGCAAUCUCGUAUUGGAUUAGUAAAAGAGAAGAUAUUGUUAACAGAAGGAAUUGUUCCUAGUAGAGCUGAUCAUUUAUCUAAAUUAGUUGAUAGUAGUUUGAAUAAACCUAUAGAUGUUUUAGUUAUUGGAGGUGGUGCGACAGGAUCAGGUGUUGCACUUGAUGCUGCUACUCGGGGAUUGAAGGUUGGACUUGUCGAGAAAGAUGAUUUUUCUUCUGGGACUUCUUCUAGAUCAACCAAGCUUCUACAUGGAGGUAAUUUUCUGUUCUUCACAGAAUUUGAUGAUAUAUUAUUGUUCUUUUCUACUAUUACGUAAUAGUCAGUAACGCUUUUUCCAUGAAUAUUAAAUCGAACCUCAUUGAAUGACAAUGUUGAAAGAGAAAAUGUAUGAAGUCUAUGCAAUAUAAAUAUCUAAUUGUGUUUACUUAAUUUUUGCCGUAAUGAUCUUAUCCCUCACAGCUUUAACCAAUUAACAUGUUUAGGAAAUCAAUCCUUCAUACAAAGUACAAACCCUACCCUGCCCCAACCCUGUCCCCCAAAAAAAUUCACACAUCUUCAUGGUAGCUAUUAUCUAUGGAUCUGACAAUUUUUGCGACUCCUUUAGAGGAAUGCUCCCUAAACUUCUCAUACUAAAGCAUUGUGUUAAGCUAAAAUCCAACAUGCUACUAAAGUGAGAAUUUUAGCUGUAAAUGGCGAGCUGCUCUCCCACUCUCAAAAUUUUGAGGAUCACUUUCACUUUUACUUUUUUACUGGUAGAAUAUAAGCAACUUAUUCUUUAUCAAACAAUAAAUCGGAAAACGAUAUUGUACGAUCGGGACUAGAUGAGGAUCCAUGAUAUCUUCUGGUACAUGAUUUUGAGUGCAUAUAUUGAGGAUUUUGCUACUGCACCUUGAAUGUAUUCCAAAGCUAUAUGAACUGAGGUUUUAGUUUUGCCUUGCUCAUCCUUUGAAUCUUCUAGAUUUCUUGCUCAUGUUUUCAAUCUUCUAUAUUCUGGGGAAGAAUGUACUUUCUUGUUGUAUGUGAGUGUAUCCACAGGCACUCUUGAAUCAAACAGUCAAAUUCUCUCCCCCCAAAACAAUAGAAGUUACUGGACACCAUUUUACUACUACUUGGAUGAUAUAUAACCCGGAAUCUUGAUUCUCUUUCUGCCCAAAUAUCUGUUUAAUAUUUUGCAUCUUAUAGAACCAUUUUUUUGCUCAACAGCAGUAUUUUCAUUUUAUGUUAUUAGUAUAUGAAUCUUGUCUAUUUAAUGGAAUCUUCAAAUCUUAGCAUCUCUAUUUCUUUUCUUUACCAAUUUCAAGCCAGAUCGUAUCUGCACGCUGCAUAUAACUGGUUUUCCAAGAGUCUUUGAUACAUAUAUGUAAAAAUGCCUUGUAUGAAUGAAAAUAUGUCUUGUUUUUGCUUCCUUCUAUGUUCGGUAGGAAUCCUCACACAUCGCCUUUCACUUACUACAGGUGUACGUUAUUUGGAGAAGGCCUUUUUCAAUCUGGAUUAUGGACAGCUUAAGUUAGUUUUCCAUGCACUUGAAGAGCGCAACCGUGUUAUUCAAAAUGCUCCACACAUGUGCCAUCCAUUGCCAACAAUGACCCCAUGUUUUACCUGGUUUGAUGUGGUAUACUAUUGGGCAGGCUUGAAAGCUUAUGAUCUAGUUGCUGGGUCUGCAAUAUUGCAAUUAUCACAUUAUUACCCAGCAAAAAGGGCUCUUCGUGAUUUUCCUACUCUUGCAAAAGAAUUUGAUGGUCGGAAGUUAAGAGGGGCAGUUGUUUAUUAUGACGGACAGAUGGAUGAUUCACGUCUCAAUGUUGAAAUAGCUUGCACUGCUGCUUUGGCUGGUGCCUCGGUGCUUAACCAUGCAGAAGUAACCUCUCUCCAUAAAGAUAAGAUCUCUGGACGUGUAAUUGGUGCUCAUAUUCGAGACAAUUUGACAGGUACAUAACAAAACCGACUGUUCCAUUGAAUUGAAAUUUCACAUGAUUUGAGCAAAACAUGAAGCCCUUACUCUCACAAACUUUCUUGCUGUAUGGUGAGGGUUGUACAUAAUACAUGUCCUUGGAAAAGUAAGGGAUCUUGUAAACAUUCAUUUUCAGUUGGGGUAUUACUAACAUCCUGUCAAAAAGCAGUUGCACCAGGGUACGUUUUAGUGUUUAGUAUUCUCAGGUUGAUUUACUUUUUAAGCAAUGAACACCAAGGAAAUAAAGGUGGGUAGAUUGUAGGAACAAAAUUUCAACACUUAAUUCUCCUGUAAUGUUGAGUUGGUGCAAAUUUCCAUCCUGCAUAAACACUUGCUCUUUUGCUUUCUCUCUAGGAUAUUCUUAGCAAAUUAUGUUAGGAAUGAGGUGACCAACUUCAUGGUUUUCUGAGGUCACUGGAAGACCAUUCAUGGAAAGUUUAUGCUAUCAUUAGCAGUUAGAACUUUAUUAUUCCCUAAAAAUUGCAAGUGGCAAACAACCACUUUUACCAGGGGAUACAAACGGAACUCAGUCAUUGAUCAAAUAGUAUAAGCGACAUUAUUUAAUCUAUACUAUUUAAUCAAACUUUCGAUCUUUAUGAAUUAUGAUGUUGAUAUAAAAUUAUUCUUCUAUGGUCUUUCUUUGUGCAAAAUAUAGUACAAUUUUGUCUGAUUUGAGAAUCUGUUGCAGAUAAAGAAUUUGAUAUAUAUGCAAAGGUGGUCGUAAAUGCUACUGGGCCUUUCUCUGACGCUUUAAGAAAGAUGGCAAACAAGGAUUCUACCAACAUCAUUUGUCCAGCCAGUGGAGCACAUGUGAUCCUUCCAGAUUACUAUACUCCAAAGGAUAUGGGCUUAAUUAUUCCCAAAACCAAAGAUGGCCGCGUGGUGUUCAUGUUACCAUGGAAUGGUAAAACAGUGGUUGGAACUACAGAUUCUACAUCUGCAAUAACUGAUCUACCAAAACCACGUGAAGAUGAGAUAGAGUUCAUCUUGAAUGCCAUUAGUGACUAUCUGAAUAUCAAGGUAAGCCAUAUUAAGCUUCUUAUCAAAAUGUUGCGACCUCUAUGAGUAUCUCACCAAUUACGAUACGUACUUGGCCCAAUAUGGAUGUAGUCAUAGGAUACAAAUUGAUACCAACACUAGAAAUUUUCUUGGACACUUCUCGCUUGUGUCCUAUCACGCUGAAUUUUUUUCUUCAGCUGUCAAUAUUUUCUUAUUCGCUUUGUCAUUAGAAAAAUGCCUGAACAUUAUCUUGCAACGAAAACAAGAGAAUGUUAGCAGAAAAUGCAGGAAUGAGUUGCAUACUCAUCACCUGGAAAAGAGGCUUUUUUUCGUCUUGAGAUUUUAGAUUAGGUACUUGAAAGUUGGAUUUUAUGGACAAAUCAAUUUUUUAGUGAGGUUGCCUUUAUGCAACUUAUUUGUGUGUUGUCUGCUAGAGUCCCUCAAGAAGUAUGCAACUAAUACAUCAAUUAAUUCAUCAAUCAUCAUAGAACCUACAUGACUGACUAGAACAAUUGAUAUACCUUAGUUUUGUUCUUUGGGAUAUUUAUUUGUUUAUUGUGUGUCUACGGGCAAUGUGAAUGUGGCUACAAGACGCUGCAUGACUUCCUGUUAACAGGGGCCUCAAUAGGAACAAAAGCACUAGGAGAAUUCGAACUGGGACCUCCUCAUGUGUGUGUUGGGGUGGGGGGGGGGGAACUACCAACUUCACUGUUCCGUUAUAUGUAUUCAGCUCUUCACCGAAAUAGUGUGUCCUUCUUUGAGACAGCUGUGCACAUGAGAUAAGUUCUAUAGCUGUGGUACUCACGUUUAUUUAUUUCAGGUUGGGCGCUCUGAUAUCCUUUCCACGUGGAGUGGAAUACGUCCUUUGGCGACUGAUCCUUCUGCAAAGAACACUUCUAGCAUUUCCAGGGAUCACAUUGUAAAUGUUGAAUGCCCUGGAUUUAUUACAAUCACUGGUGGUAAAUGGACUACUUACCGAAGGUACUUGUUCAACUACUUUUAGAACGACCUAUCAACUUUCAAAUUCCUCUUGCAUGAAAAGUGAACUCAAAUCUCAUCUUAAGGUUAAAAUAUGGGUUUCAGUGUGGAUUUAAGGGUUUGUUUUUAAAUUAAAAGAUGCUAAUAUGAGUUUUUAACUUUUUAAUUUUCAACUAGAAAUACCUUUAUAACUUAAAAGCAACUCUAACUAAAAUUUAGUUUACUGCGGGCAAUUUAUGUAUGUCAUUACACAUUUAUGUUGGAAAUUUGGAAUUGUUAUAGAAAAUAUCAACAUGUAUAUUUGUUUUUAGGUUACACCGUUCCAGAUGCUAUAUUGUGAUAUUUACAGUUUUAGAAAUGGUAUAGAAGAUCUUUACUGCUAUAUUUGUUUCAAAUCUGAGAUAUGCUAACUUACUAUGGUUGUGACUUUCAGCAUGGCUGAAGAUGUGCUGAACACAGCUAUCAAGCAUGGGGAACUCAGCCCUCUGAGUACCUGUGUCACAGCAGAUCUUCCACUCAUGGGUGCUUAUGGAUGGGAGCCAUUGCUUUUUGUGCAGUUGGCUCGCUCAUAUGUUCCGAAGAAAAAAACCAAGGAUGGAAAAAUUAAGCCCGAGGCAAUGGAUACUACAACUGCAAAACACCUCUCAUGUGCAUAUGGAAGCAUGGCCAAACAUGUGGCAACUAUUGCACAGGUUAGAACUUUCAGGCCAUAACAUGGUCUCAAAUGAAAUUAGGUUUAAACAUUAUGAUUUCCACCAGCAAACUCUUAGUUGUAUGAAAUUAGGUCUCAAAUGCAGUUUGGUUUGGUCUCAAAGAAUGAUGACUUGUUGUAUGAAACUGUGAUUUCCAUGCAGCAAACUCAACUGAAAUCUGAGAACCUAAAAAAGAUUGCUUUAAAUACAGCUGGAAUAGAGAAGGCUUACAAGUACAAGUGAACAAUGAUGACCAUGACCUUUAUGAUCCUAAAUCCAAAAUACUUUUGAAUGGAAGCAUUGUCUUUGUUUCUUUUAAAUGGUUAGACGCAUCCCCACAUGGCUUGCUUGGUAGAAAAUAUAUAUGCUUGACCCUUAUCACCAUACUUUGGAAUUACUUUGGCUCUCAGCUCAUUCACACUGUCUUCAAACUAAGUUUUUUCCAAAAUUUUCAUUGCAAUUGGUUAUUUAUUGCAGGAUGAGAAUCUAGGUAAAAGACUUGUUCAUGGAUAUCCUUACCUGGAAGCUGAAGUGGCCUACUGUGCUAGGAAUGAGUACUGUGAGACCGCCAUUGAUUUUAUUGCAAGAAGAACUCGCCUUGCCUUUCUGGAUGUCCGUGCAGCAAAACAAGCCCUCCCACGGGUGAUUGAGAUACUUGCAGCUGAGCAUAAAUGGGACAGAGAAAGGAAGGAGCAGGAGCACAACAAAGCUGAAGUGUUUCUCCACACCUUCAGAACCUCCACGUAUGAGCCAGGGCAGAGCCGCGUCUAGAUGUCAUGUUUUACGUAAUUAGUCGAUACAUCUAGAAUUAGAAAUGGGUGGAUAGCCCAAUUUUUUUUACACCAUGACUUGUAUUUUUUUAACAGAUACAACUACAAAGAUAGAAUUACUCAAGAGAACCAUAAUAAAAAUUGGAUUAGGAAGAAACCAGUCCUAUUGGCUGGAAAAUAUCUGUAUAAGAUUUAUGUUCUCAAUAAAUUUAGGAAUGCAUCCUCUUGUCAAUAAUGCAUUUGAUUUAUUUCACUGGAAAAAACUUCAAUUGUUGUUCAGCACUGUUCUUCGACGAACGACCCCAAUACAACAAAAAUCCCAGCUUGCUUUGAGUAGUUUGAAUUCAUCCCUUGUCCUUGUAAUUAAAUUGUCUUAAGUUAUUUUUAUCAGUUGCAAUCUGUCAUCAUCAUCUCUAGUUGUUCAACACGUCAACAUUUGACACCUCUGGCUAGCCAGCACUUUCUAAAUGAUGACCAAAGGGAAGGGUAAAUAAGUUGCACCCUUUCCACACCAAUGUAUACAGCCAAAGUAUCUGCAGUUUAUGUGGUUUAUCUGUAGACGUGGUGUAUAACAACCUGAAAACUCUUUCAGAGCUCCCAAAUUCCUUGCACCCUACUUUCCUAUAUCCCUGGCAUCUCUUCCUCUUUCCUUGUAAUCUCUACUCGAGUACGGUGCAUAUUCAGAUCUUUUAAUACUGCGAUAAUACAUUAAUACUGCUCUGAUAUCCCAGUACCGAGUGCAUAUUCAGAUCUUUUAAUACUGCGAUAAUACAUUAAUACUGCUCUGAUAUCCCAGUACUGAGUGCAUAUUCAGAUCUUUUAAGAUAGCUCGUCCCACAGGUCACCAUUUAUUCUGCAAAGUAUCUUGUAAAUUCUGAAAUUUGCAUUCCAAGGUUGUCUUCAGUUUCAUUAGUCUCACCAUCUGGUCCUCUUCUUCUUUUUAAACCUCCCAUAAUUUCUUUUUCUGGAGAAAGAAAACUGAAGAAAAAGCAGGAAGAAGUCCUGCACAUGCCCAUCUAUUUCCAAUUUUCCAUUCUACAUUAGCAUGAAAAAAUGAAUUGGGAUUGGUUGAUGAUCUAUGUGUGACAAGCUUAUCCUGUGUUUGCAGAGCUCCUAAUCAUAGUAGCAAAGCUAGGAAAAGUAACCUUACCAUAAUGUUUCACCAUUUCCUUAUCAGAGCUUCUAUUCAAGUACAGUAUGAAUAAGGAACCACUAGGCACUAGCAAGAUUUUGCCUGAAGCUUUCAGUCCAAAUUAACUAAUCUGAUCUCACUUCUCCCUCAUUCCCAAUGCUUUUAGGUCUCAUUCGUAUAUUAAUAUUGGUUUGGCUCCCACCAGCACAUCAUGGCAAUAUGAAAUCUUUCACCAUUCUUAAUGCAACAUUUCAUCAUAUUGCAGCAGCCAUCAGUCUGCCAACUCACGCCCAGCUAAUGGAAGAGACUUCUGUUGCCAAAUAGCGGAAUACAGCAACAAGGUGGAAUGCUUGUCAAAUUUAGUCACGCUACUACAAAAGUUGAAGAUGGAACAAUUCAUAUCCACUCUUGAUUGUUGUUGUGGACUUGUGGUAUAUCCCUCAUUUGCAGUUUCAAUUUACUGAACAGCUCAAAUGUAGAAAAACACUAGUGUUUCGGUGUUUCCCACUGGACCAAGAAGCCAAUGAUGAAUGGAAAAAGGAAAUUCUACAUAUACUUUGUCCAGUUGGUAAGGUAAUGGCUAAUCAAAGAUGCAGCGCAACAUAAGGCGUUCCUAAUGACUAGCGCCCUAGCAUCUCCAUAGCAGAAAGCACCAGCAGCACAAUUAUUACACUGCCAGGCAGUCAAUGUUUGAAUCACUUGCCCUUCCAUUGUGCCUGACCAAUAUGUGAUGAGUAGGGUAAGGUCAAAACAUAUAAUCAAACAUAGCAAACUCAGAUAAAAAAGCAUCAGAUACCAGAGGUCACUCUGAGCAACUGCUCAAGCAUAUUGGUUGAAACUAAAAGAUCUUUAUAUUUUCCUUACCACUAUCAUUUAAUUUUGGCAUGUUCAGACAAUGACUUACUUUAGCACGACCAAGCUAUGAUAAAAAGAUACAGAGAAUGACAUCAGAUUAAUUUUACAAUGAAUUACUUGAAUGUAGCUGUUUCUGCCUGAGGUUCAUAUUCAGAUAGCAAUCUAAACUUGAGAAUUUUAUGAAGGCUAGCAAUAGGUUUAAUUUGCUUUGCUGUUGCUUGGUUUGGAUCAACAAUGCUUUUGCCCUUGAAAAGAUUUGCUCCAGAUGGCCCUGUUUCUUGGUGUACCAAUGGACCACUAUCUGCCAAAAAAGUAUUUAAUUUAGCCUCACAAGGUACAAGUAAUAACUGAGAAACCAAAAUGCUAGAUCAUUAAUAUUAUCAAGGACGGAUGUGAUGAAACAUAAGUGGACUUGUGGAACAGAUGCUAAGAAAGUUACACGAUGACUCCAUGGGGGCACGAAGAUGCUCAAAGGCCAGUUUUCUUCAGGUGUUAGACAUUUGGAAUAUUUAAGAUGAUUAUGUUACAGCAUAGGCUCUCUGCAUCUAUCCAAUCUCUAAAAUGAGAGGAAUAGUAAGUACUUAAAUUCAAAUCUGGAUUUUUCUUUGGUAAUAUAAUAGUGAACUAGUGAUCUUUCCAACAGUGAUCGAAAAGGCUGUAAAAAGGAGGAAAAAAACACAUAUGUAAGUUUUCCUGAUGAUCACUCCAAACAAUAUGUGCACACCUAAAGAAAAUUAAUGCCGAAAGAGAAAACCCCAGGCCUUAAUACAUCCACAUGGCAUAUCAAAUGUAAAGUUACAUUUUCUCUCCACUAGUUAAACUAAGAUGCAAAGAAAUCCUUCCAAAUAAAUCAUUUUCAGAAUUGGUAAAUAUUGAGCUGAAGUACGGAGGGUUGGCUAUUGCACAACGAAAUGCAUAAACAAAAUCUUUACCCUGAAAAAUGGGAUGGAAGUUGGAACAACAAGCAAACAAUGUGUGCAGUCGGCAGGAACUUUAUAAGAUAGAAUCAAGAUGGUAGAGCAUGGACUGUUCACUAAUAAGUAGAUAAAGCAAUUUAAAGUCAAGCAUUCAGCCUUGUUCAUAUGUAACUAUCCAGGUUAUUUUAUAAUAAUCUGACCUGUUUCAGUGAAUACAUAGCAAGUCCCGAUGGUCUCGUCGUAUUCACCAAUCUGUGAUUGACAAUGGACAGUAAUAAGAAGAACUUAUUAAAAAAAAAAAAAAAAAGACUUCUGGCUCAAGUUGUAGAUAGGUGUAGCAAAGAAACAACUUACCAGCUUCAAAUUAUCACCAAUAGUCAAGAUUGGAUUCAGCGUGUCCAAACCCUAGAGUGUACAGAAGAGUAUUAUAAAUUGAAAUUCUUAAUUGCACUUAGCACUAGAAUACAAACAAAGGGUAGAGUCCAUUGUACUGUAGGUACAAUCCUAGAUUACAUGCCAUGUCAGCUGAUUGUACCAGAAUCCAAAAAUGCCACAUCGUUAUUUAUACAAGGGAAUAUGAAUGGAUCUUGUGUAUCUAUGCUGAGUAGCUAUUAAAGUCAAUUAUUACUUCCGACAUAGGAUGUGUUGACGCAAACUGGCAACCACAAGUCCACAACUCAUAAAAAUAUAAGAUUCCAUAUUCAGGCAUAUGAUUACAUAUUUGCACAUACCGAUAAGACAUAUGGGGUAUUUGCAGGGAUGUUCAUUUGUCCAUAAACAGCCUCAAGAUCAAGUAAGACAUAUUCUUCUUCCACGACAUUCUCGUUUCUGUUUGAGUUGUCUUCCAUAUCCUGCAGUAUCAAUGGCAAGUAAUUAGCCCAUGGAUAACCUAACACCACGUCGCAAUUGGCUUUGAUUCAUCACACUUCAAAUUAUCAAUCUUUGCUAAGUGCAUGAUAUCAAUGUCAACAAACUCAAUGGAUUGACUGUGAAAAUAAAUAUGACAACUAUAUAUCUAUAUAUCAAAACUUAAAACUACCAUAUAUAAAUUAGUAAUGCAAUUUAAAAUUUCUGGAGCCAUUUCCAGAUAUGUGCAAGUAGUGUACUCGUGUUGUUUCUUAUAGGACGAUGUUCCAAAAAUCACAAUCACCUCCUUUAUAAAACAGAUUCUAACAAGAACACAGAGCUGAUGAAAAGUUGGAAAAGUACCUAGAUUUCAAAAAUUUCCCUAAUAGAAGAUUGAAAUGUAGUGCGCCAAAGAUACCAAAAGGGUAUAAGGACCUGAAAUUAAUUCAGGAAAUCCUGACUCGUAACCAUCUAAACCUGCAAAGAAGCAAAGAAUAAACUUUACAAAAGUUUUAUCUAUCUUCAAUAAAUUUUAACUUUAAAAGAACAAUUGUAAUAUUCAAACAAACAAGUAAAUAACAAAACUUUAUUAUAGAGAGGAAUGGUGUUUUAACAAAAUUUGAGUGAUGGAUGGGGGUCUGUCCUCAUUCUGAUCAUCUUCUUGCAUUUUACAAUCACACAAACAUCCAGCAGAAGACACGCACAAUAACACAAAGAGAAUAAUACAGUGAAUUGGGCUUAAAUCCGAACCUCUAAGAUAAUUAAAUUUCUAAACUAGGUGAAUCAUUUCUGAUUCAUACCAGACAUCCAGUUCAACACAGGAAAAACAAAUACUGCAGAUAAUGAUGAAUAUAACCUUUCCUGUAUACAUAAGGACAUCUGGAGAUUCAAAACUCAAAAAGACUAAUUAAUUUAUGAAGCAGUAGAUAUUUAUAUUUUGCUCAAGACAAGGUCUCACAUGGGUGUUCCCAACUGCUAGUCACCCAUGUGAACAAGCAUUACUGUGUUGUAUGUGAUCAACACCAGAGAGCAUCCUUUGUUGCCUAGUUGAUGAAGUAACUCUAUUACAAGAUCAACUUUUCCAUCCUUACAAAAGCAGUGAGCAACGUGUUGUACGUUAUGAUAUCUGGAUAGCAACCUCUUGACACCAUUACAUCUACGUACUUCAUUGCCCUGCCCUUUUUGUUUAGAGAAUCCAUGAUGGUUGUUGUGACUUAGAGAAUUAGGAGUGCAUCGACUACAGUAUAUUCUCUAAGAUAUCAAUUUGAUACAACCCAAUAAGGCUUUCACAAGAAGCUGAUUAAAAUAUUGAAUGUAACACCACUAGGUAAACAGCCUUUACAAAUCAUAUCAGCUAAGUGUUCUACUGCAUCCAUCCACCUUCCUGUGGUACACAUGCUACAAAGGAUAAUAACAUUUGGUUGGCACCCAUAAGAUGGCAUGUUACUCAGAAAUUUGAUCGCUUCGUCGAAUCUCCAAUGAUAAGAACAUUAUAACUACCUACAUCAGGCUAAUGUCCUAUCCUAUACUCCUCAUUUAAUCCAAUGUCUAACCCCACUCUCAUUACAAUUGGCUUCAAUAUUGUUGUAUACGUAAAACCAUCAGGAUAACAUCCCCUUUGUCAUAGAUGAUCAAGAACUUCCAUUGCUCAUUUCAGCUUCCACGAUCACAUAGACAGGGAUGGACCACAGGAGGGUAUUAUACGUAGUGACAUCAGGGGCAACAAUCGGCUGGUCCAAGAGUCGCAGAGCAUUUUCAAUCUCACCAUAUUUGCAGUACCCAAAUAUCAACACAAUGAAGGUUAUAAAAUCCAGAUGAGCCCCAGACUGAAUCCUUGUCACUGACUUAGUCUUAGAAAUCUUACAAAACCCCCAAAUCAAAUGUAAUUAUAUCAGGUAAUUCGUGGCAGUGACAGACCAUUAAAACUAAUAAGCUCUAGCUUUGAAACUGAAGAAACCUGAUUUCAGUAUUACUAGGUUGUCUCACGAAAGACAAAACCAUUAUUAUUGUUGCAAAAACUAAACUCAGAAGAAACUUAAAGCUUCUCCCAAACUAUGGUUGUUCUAUGGUAUUUUAAUUAUGAAUGAAGAUAGCACAGGUUUGCUUUGCAGGUACAAACAACCAAAUUCACAAUUUUCUUCACUUGUAUUUAUUAAGAAAAAAAAGAAAGAAAGAAAGAAAAGUUCCUUUCUAGAACAAAAAACUCAAACAUGUUUGUAGAAAUGCCCAAGAGAAGAAUACAAACAACACAACUAUAUAUUGAGAUGAGAAGAGAAGAGAAGACAACAAGAGAGCUUACUUACUAUGUAUGUAGUGAGAAAGAGUUUGUAGUACUGAGUGCUUACUAUCUCUGGUUCAAAAUGUUGAAAGCGAGAGAGGUGAAAAGACACUCUCCAGUCUCCACCUUCAAUUCAAUCAAAGUGGCAAACAAACAACACAUCAAUGGAAGUAAAACUUUGUAUUAGGGCAUCAAACAAUGACCUCACUGGAUUCUUGGAAGAGAGAGAGAGAGUGUCUCAUGUGUGUGUGUGUGUCAGGUCCAAGCCCAACAGUAGAUAUUGUCCAGCCCAUAGUCUGAUGAUAAUAGGUGUCUCUAUAUGAUUGGUCUGGUGAUUAUAAGAGUGAUAUUUCUGUUUCUUUUCUUUUCUCUCUCAUCAUAUCUUAUGCAUUUUUCUUCUUCUCUAUAAAGUAUAAACUCAACAAGAAAAUGCCCGUAAUUUAAAGGUGUCUUUCCAGUAGAUUACAUUUGGUUACAAAGUUAUGAAAAACAUGCAUUAAGUAACAUGUAUUAACCUAUUUCUAGAUUAAUGCACUACUAGAUCAGGUCGUUGGGCGACUUGACCAAAGGGAAAGUUUUAGAUCGGGGUGGCUGCACCUCGUUGAGAUUGAGAUUGCCUACGUACUCUUAGCUCGAGCGGAUUGAACUUAGAGAUCAAUCCAUCGUAGUUCUGUUCUUAUAGAAGGUAGAAAGGCGUGGAUCGUGGAUCUUGUAGAUUCUCCGUCAUCAUAAUGAGAAUUAAUUGUGUAACGCGCGAGGAUCAUCCCUGUGAAUUAAUUAUGUAACUGACGAGGAUAUUCUGUGCAUUGAAUGAGAGCACGUGUGUAUUAGCAGGCCGCUGCUUGUCAUGAGAUCGAGUUGUUGUGGUCGAGCUACUAGCAGGUAGAGAUCGUGGCGACCUGAUGGAUGAAUGAUUGUGCCACGUGGCUGCUUUUGAUUGGUUGGAGUAUGUAGUACCCCUACAUAAGCCCCCUCUUUUUAGGUCGGCUGUAUAAGUCGGGCUGAAAAGACUAAGAACUCUGAUCGAUGCUGAUUUGUAGUUUGCUUUUUGAAUUUGCGGACGUGGCAGUCAUGCAGGCUUGCCUGUACUAAUCAUGGCGCUUUUACGGGGAAGUGGAGGAUUUUCCUCGAGCAGCUAGCAGUGCAGUUAUGGCAACUGACGCACUUCUUGCUUGAUAUAGUCUUUGCGUGGCACGUGGGUUGAUCCGACGGUGGACGUGAAUCACUUAUUAAGUGGAAAAUAACUGCAAUUGUUAUGGUUUCUGUGGUCGAUCUCAGCCGUUCACCUGUUUCGAACCGAUGGCUGGGAGUACUUGUGCUACGGUAUUUAAACUGUAGCUCUCUUGAGAAGGGUUUACCUAUCUCGCCUUUAUUUGAAUUGCUGCCGCUUUUCUCUUGCGAUCUGAAGAACUUUGAGAGCUCGUGAGGUUAGUUUUUUUCUCUUUCUUUUCUUUUAUCUUCUGUUUUCUUUUCUGUUGCUUGAGAGAAAUAUCUGACGCGAGUGACUCUCAAAAUGAUAACUUGAGUGGUGGUGAGGAGUAUGAGUCUGAAAGGACUCAAUCUGAACCCUUGUCUCCCGUUCAUGGUGUGGACUCUGAUAGCCCCCAGAGUAGCGGCUCUCACGGGGCGGACUCGUCUGACGAAGAGAUGGUGGAAGGAGACGACGGUUCAAUGUGUAGAGUAGUGAACCUGAAGUAUGUAAAUAGGCAUAUUGCAUUUAUCAAGCAAUAUGGGCUUGGCUCGAUUGAGCAUUUGGAGAUUAGAUUUUUAGGAGAACGUCUACUUUCUUCUGAUUAUCGACCUAAAAAUCCUUUCUCGACUGUUUUUACCUUGGCCCAAUUCCGAGCUGGGCUGAGGCUGCCAUUGUCUUGUUUGGUGGUCGACCUGUUGAAUGCUAUUGGUCGAGCUCCUUGCCAGAUGAAUGGCAAUUUCUGGAGAAACAUGAGGGUAAUUGAUGACCUCAACAAGCUACAUAAGUGGAACAUCACUGUAAAUGAUGUGUUGGGUCACUUCAGCUUUAAACAUUCUUCAAAGGCCGAUUUCGCGGGCUAUAACAUGCAAACUAGGCCAGAACGUUUGCCUUUGAUCUAUCCGAUAAGUAGUGAGCCAUGGUGGAAAGAUCUCAUGCUGAUUACUGGGUCGAUCAUUAAGGGAGUAUCCAGUUGCGUCAUGUGACUAGGAAUGAUGCUCGUGAGUUUCUGGUUAUUAGUCUGAACAUGGUAGAUGUUUUUCCUGUUUGCGGACUUGAUGAUUUUGUAUCUUUUUGCAGCGAUCAGGGACGAUCAUCUUUUGAGGAAGAACGAUCUGCAGUCCGCUUUGAACGGUUUUGGUUUCUUAUCUGACAACCGUAAAAUACAGCUCUUACCCCACCUGAAGGAGCAUUUUAUUCCCAAAGGUGGUCCGAAAACCGUUGAAGAAGAGCUCGAGAGGAGGAAGUCGCUGAAGAAGGCCUAUAUGACUUCUGUACAUAAAGCUGAGGCUGGACGUUCUGGUGGUAGUUCGCGUGCUGGGGAGAAGGAACGAGCUAGUGGUAGUUCGAGGCCUGAAGAGAGAGAGCGAUCUAGAAGCGCUGCUCGGAGGUCGGAGAAGGAACGAUCUGGUGUUAGUUUGCGCCGGGGGGAGGUAGUGGCGAGCCCCCCAGUCGUAUCCCCUCGACCUCACUUCCCAAAUUACCUGCCUUGUCCGGGAAGAAGAGGUCAUUGUCAGGGAACCUGAAGUUGAUGGAGCCUCCAACUAUGCCAUCCCCUGCUCUUCCAAAGUUCGUGAAAUCUUCUGAGCCUCCUCUUUAGUCCAGGAAGACUGCUGCUGGGCCUUUGCAGAAAGGCAAGGGGGUAUCGUCUGAGUUUCGCCCUGGGCCGUUUGAUUAGUUGGAUGGCCGCGGUGAGAAGCAUGUCGUGUAUGAUAACGACAGUGCUAUUGACGACCCCUGCGUUGCUCGGGCUGUGAAUGAGGGCAUCGUCUUGGAUGCUGAUGCUCGAGCAGUGAAGUCACAGACUUUGUUGGUGACCUGCUCAAAGAUAAACGCGUCGCUGUCUUUGGUGAGUGUGAUCAUAAGUCUCUUUUUUUUUUUUGGUGUGCUUAGUCAUUGCUGACUAAACUCUGUUUGCACUUGCAGCUCAACGCAAGCUUCCAGGAGGUGCGUCUGGUUGCUGAGGUUGGUGCUCGAGCUGAGAUUGAGUUGAAGGACCUCAACGAGAAGCUCGAGCAGGCGAAGAAUGUUGCUGUUGUUGUUGAGUGCAAGGUGAAGGACAUGGAUGCGCAGGUCGCGGCGUUGAAGGAGAUGGUGGAGCAGUUAAAGGAAGAUUCUGCUGCUGCUAAGGCUUCUGCUGAAUACGCUAAGGCUUCUGCUGAACACUGGGAGCACGCAUGCCGAGAGAAUGGCGCAGCGUGGAAGGCCUACUGCGACAACUUGAAGGAAGCUUUGAUGGGGUCGCCCGAAGGAGAGGAGACGCGAGGUGGUGCUGAUGGAGCUUUGGUGCCAGCUCAGGACACCUUGAUGGGCCCUAAUGACCAGGUCGCCAGUGGCCGUACGGAGAUUGAUGGUUCCGGCGACCAGUCUGUGCAGCAGUGAGCUAGUCCCGGUACCGACCUUCUUGUCUUGGGUAACCUUGUGCAAAGUUUGCUUCUUGCACUCCUUGUUCUUGCAGUAUGUCUUCUUUGGCCUUUCUAAAAGCAGUCUUCUGAGUUUGUAAGCUCGAGUAAACAAUCAUUUGUUUUGUUUGGAGUUGUAAUGAACAACGGUAAUUUAUUUGAUGAGCUUGUAAUUAAGCCGUUCUGAUCAGCUAGUUUCCAGGGAGUCCUGGUAGCUCGUUCAGAAGGCAGGUAGACGAGAUGAAUGGCUGCAAACAGGACGAACUGAAAUAGUUCUUCUUGUAUGCCUUAGUUUAACUUUGCUUUUACCUGUAAUGGUUAGAAUCUCAUCAAGUAAAAAGAAAUUUCAAUGAUUUACCUUACAUUGUCAUUCUUGUUACGUUGUCUGCUUGUAUGAGUUUUGCAAACAAGUAGUGAUCAUAGUGCUGGACCUGCUGGUGGAUGAGGUCGUAUGCAUGGUUGCUUGAUUGUACAUGGGUCGUGGGAAUGAUGUGACCAAUGCACCAAGUUAAGUUGCAGAUGUUUGAACUUAACAAAAUUAAAAUUAUCAAAGGGACUAGAUUUUUGAUAAUUUGUAGGUCGAGGGAUUAGACCUUUGGGAGCCAUUCAUGUUUGACCCGAGAUGAAGGCAAAAAAUGAGUUUAUAUAUUGAAAUGUGAUAAAUAGAUGCUUACAUUUCAUUGAUAAAACUUCUUCAAGUGAUAAGCAUUCCAUGGGUUCUUAACGAUCUCCCCUUCUGGUGUUUGAAGACGAUAAGAACCGUUGCUUUGGACCUUGGUAAUGAUGUAAGGGCCUUCCCAAUUGGCAUUGAGCUUGCCAAUAAUAUCCUUCCUUUUGUUGUGGAACAUUUUUCUUAGAACUCGUUCUCCUGGUUGAAAAGAUUUAGGUCGUACGCCUUUGUUAUAAGCUCGCUUAAGUCGUUGUUGAUAUUGCUCAAGCUUUAUAACGACGUGGUUUCGUCGCUCCUCGAGGAGAUCAAUUCCGAAUGACCAGACCUGAUCAUUAAGCUCUGUGUCGACCAGAAGGGAUUUGGUCGUUCCGAAUGUUAACUCGGUGGGAAUAACGACCUCAACUCCAUAGCAAAGACUGAAUGGUGACAUCCCUGUGGAUGUACGAGGGGUUGUUCUGUAAGCCCAUAGGAUGUUUUCCAACUGUUGUGGCCAUUGAUCGUGUUGAUUUUCGAGCUUUUUCUUUAAGUUGUUCAGAAUCUGUCGAUUUGCAGCUUCGACUUGGCCGUUGGCUUGUGGAUAUCUAGGUGUUGACCUGGAAUGUUCGAUUUUCCAUAGCUCGUAGAAAGCUUUGAUGUUUCUGCCAACGAACUGAGUGCCAUUAUCCGUUACUAUCCGUUUUGGUAGACCAAAUCGUGUGAUUAUGUUUUCCCACAUGAAUCUUUGAACAUCGGCUUGAGUGAUGUUGGCGAGUGCAACGGCUUCUACCCAUUUUGUGAAGUAGUCAAUGGCGACUAGAACAAACUUCUUUUCAGAUUUCUUUUCUUUGAUAAAAGGGCCCAUGAUAUCUUGCCCCCACAUGUGAAAUGGCCAUGGCGCAGUGAUGUUGAUUAGAUCGUUUGGAUGCUGAUGCUGGUUAUCAGCAAAAUGCUGGCAUUCUUUACACUUCAACACAAAUUUCUUGGCAUCUUCUUUCAUUCUUGGCCAGAAAUACCCCUGGGAGAUCGCUUUAUGAGCUAAUGUUCGACCUCCGGAGUGGUUUCCGCAUUCUCCUUCGUGGAUUUCUUCGAAAAUGAUCUGGCCAUGCUUGGGAAUCAAGCACCUUAACAACAGACCGGUUGCAGAUUUUCUGAAUAGCUUACCCUCAUGAAGUUUAUACAUAGUGACUUUAUGUAAUAGUUGACUGACUUCCUUUUUGUUGGAUGGAAGCACACCAGUUUGAAGGUAAGUGAUGAAAGGUUCCAUCCAAGUUCCUUGGAUGUCUGCUGUUGUUGUGGCAAGCAGAUCCGAGAUUUGAUGAACAUUUUCCUCUUUCAACAGAUAUGCGGGCUGUAUACUGAUUGCUAUAGUGAGAGCCCGCGGUCGAUCUGACUCGAUCUUAGAUGCUAAGAAUGUCAGUGAAUCAGCGUAUCUGUUGUCAUCUCUAGGGAUGUGUUCGAUUGUGAAAUAACUUAGCUUGCUGAUAAGUUCCUUUGCUCUGGUAGCAUAUCUGAUUAAGUUGACACCAUUGAUCUGGUAAUUAUUGGUAAUCUGAUUGACUACCAAUUGAGAAUCACUGUACACCUUGAGGCGGACUGCCUGUAGGUCGAUAACCAUUUGUAUGCCUUGGAUUAGAGCUUCGUACUCGGCCUCGUUGUUGGAGGUCGAGAAGUCGAGACGAGUUGCUCUCUCGAGCUGUGAACCCUCAGGAGAAAUGAGCACAACACCUAUGCCACUUCCGUUGGAGUUGUGGGAACCGUCAACAUAUAGUUGCCAGGUGUCGGGGGGAUUGACCUGGAGUUGUCUUGUUUCUGGCUCUGGUUCCCAAUUGAUGUCUUUUGCGGGAUAGUCUGCUAAGAAGUCUGCAAUGACCUGUCCUUUGACGGCCUGCCGAGAGACGAACUCAAAUGUGUAAUCACCCAGCUCGGCCGCCCAUCGAGCCAUACGACCUGUUUUGUUCUUCUUUUCUAAUAUAUGUCGUAAUGGCUGGUCGGUGAUUACUUUGACAGUGUGGGCUUGGAAAUAAGGUCUGAAUUUGCAUGCAGCAUAAAGGAGAGCUAAUGCUAAUUUCUUUAGAGGUGUGUACCUUAUUUCGGCCUGUUGUAAGACUUUGCUCGUGAAGUAAAUUGGUCUUUCGACCUGAUUUUCCUCUUUGAAAAGCACUGCACUGAUCGCAAAAUCUGAAGUUACGAGGUAGAUACCGAGUAUAUCUCCAUCAUUAGGCUUAGUAAGAACUGGCGGAGUGGAUAAAUAUGCCUUGAGGUCGGUGAAGGCCUUCUCGCAUUCUUCUGUCCAUUCAUAUGUAGCCCCCUUCUUAAGAAUAUGAAGCAUUGGUCGACAUUUAUCUGAUGCUCUAGAAAUGAAUCUAUUGAGAGCUGAUACCAUGCCGUUGAGUUUUUGGAUCUGCUUCUUUGUUUUCGGGUUGGGCAUGUUAAUCAGUGCUCUGAUCUGGUCCGGAUUUGCUUCGAUGCCUCGUUUUGUGACUAGGUAGCCGAGAAACUUUCCUGAUGCGACCCCGAACAGACACUUCUCUGGAUUAAGACGCAUCAUGUAUUGUCUUAGUCUUUGGAACGCCUGGUUGAGAUUGUACAAAUGAUCCUGCUCUUGGCUGCUCUUGACCAGCAUAUCGUCAAUGUAGACUUCCAUUGUUCGACCUAGCAGGUCGUCGAACAUUCUGGUGACCAGUCUCUGAUAGGUCGCUCCUGCAUUCCUUAAGCCAAACGGCAUAACCUUGUAGUAGAAAAUGCCUUGCUCUGUUGUAAAAGAGGUCUUCUCCUGGUCGGGCUCGUACAUUGGGAUCUGGUUGUACCCUGAGUACGCGUCCAUGAAUGACUAUAGCUCGAAACCGCUUGUCUGAUCGACUAACCUAUCGAUUCGUGGCAGUGGGAAUGAAUCUUUAGGACAAGCUUUGUUCAAGCUUGUGAAGUCGAUGCAGACUCUUGUUUUCCCAUUUUUCUUUAAGACUGGCACGAUGUUGGCUAGCCAAUCUGGAGUGUCGACUUCUCUGAUGAAUCCGACCUGUUUGAGUCUAUUGAUUUCUUCAUUGACUGCUUCGUGAAACUUGGGAGCGAGCCUUCUUGGUUUUUGCUUGACAGGUCGAUAAUUCGGAUUGACGUGCAGUUUAUGACAUGCAAUUGAUGGAUCUAUUCCAGGCAUAUCGAUAUACGACCAAGCAAAAACAUCUUUAUUAGUUGAAAGAAAAUUUACAAAGUUAUGGAACUUAUCUCCUUCUAACUCUGCACCUACAUAGACAUAUCUCGGCUCAUCUUCUGACCCAAGGUUCACACGUACUCCUGGAUCAGUGCUUCCAAGAUUAAGUUUGGUUGAGCUCGUUGGCUCCUUCUGUAGUUGCUAUUUGGUAGCGUCGGUCUUCUCUUUUGGAGGGCUCUUGGACUUGUUGUCGCCCUCUUGAGCCUCUGAUGAGAUGGGGCUCUUCCCUUUGAUGUCGGAAUCCUUGGUUCCAGAGGUGGAUGGCUUUCCAGGCGGCACAACUUCAAUAAUUCCAUGGCACUCCUGUGCAGCGUUCUGGUUGCCUCGAAGUUCCAUUAUCCCAUGAGGUCCGGGAUAGCGGAAAACUUGAUGAUAUGUUGAUGGCACACCUCUCAUGGCAUGGAUCCACUUUCGACCCAGAAUCGCAUUGUACUUGCUUACGAUGUUAAGGAUGCUGAAUUUGGCGGUCACAACGACCUUGUCUUCCUUUCUGCCCACGGUGAGGGGCAACAGAAUUUCACCCUUGGGAUCUUCCCUUGAGCUGUUGAAGCCUAGAAUGGGUGUAUAAUCGGGGAUGAGAACUGAAUCGGGCAAUCUCAUGUCCUUGAAGGUUCUGUACAUGAGGAUGUUGCAUGAUGCGCCAGGGUCAAUGAGUACCCUCUUGAUAAUGUAGUCGGCUAUCCUUAGCUCGACAACCAGGGCAUCAUUGUGAGGAGUAACGACCUUGUUGAGAUCGUCUUCAGUAAAAGUGAUGUCUGUUUCCUGGCGUGCAGGGAUGUUGGAGAGCGCUGCUUUACCAGUAAUCGAGUAGACAUGAUGAAGAUGUUCUACUCGUAUCUUCUUAUCUCUUGACAGGGGGGUGGAGUUGGAUUCAUAGAUCAUGUAUACGACAUGACUUUCCGACUCACUGUCGCUGUCAAUCUUGUUUGCGACCUUCUUGUUGAUCUGGUCGCGUAGGUCACCUGUUAGACCUAGAUGUUGGGAGAGGCUACGCCCUCUGCUGCGGACUGGACUUGCGGAGGCCGUUCUGGCCUUGCUGUGAUUCCUCUUUGGUGAACGAGGAGGGGUUCUGGAUCCCUUCCUCAUCCGCUUGCUUGUGGAAUCCCCUUGUCUGCUGAGGAUCCAAUUGUUGAGCCUUUUCUCAUCGGCCCAUGUUUAAAGAGCGCGUUUCAGAACGUGACAGUCAUCUGUUUGAUGACACCGUACUUUGUGGACUUUGCAGUACGGUCGUCCAGAUGUAUCCUACAACUGUGUGGAGGUAGGAAUCUUGCACCAAUGGUUGUGCUUGAUUCGCUCGUAGAUGUAACCGGCUGGUCUUGUGAACCGGUGAUACUCUCGCUGCUCAGUAGGCAACGACUUUGCUUUGAACCUCUUGCUAUCAGAUUGAGGUCGCUUGGUGGAGCCAAACUCUACAUUGCUGACUACAUGAUUCUUUUCCCUUCCAGUGAGGGCUUCUUCGAGCUUGAUGUAACGGUCUACCUUUAGGUAGAGGUCGUCUAGGGAUGAAGGUCGCUUCAUGGAGGUCGGACCCUUGGAUCAGACCGUGAGAGAAUGCGAUGGUUGCGAAGGUCUCAUGUUCCUUUGCAAAAACCUGAAUUGAAUGCAGUUCAGAUUUAAAACGAGCAAAGAAAGUGCUUAGUGACUCACCAUCCCGCUGCUUGACUUUGAAGAUUUGAUCGAUGGUGACGGGUCGCUUCUUGUUAUGGAUAUAGAAGAUGACAAACUGCUUUUCGAGCUCGGCAAACGAGCUGAUAGAUCCUGAUUUUAAAUGGUGAAACCAGUCGAGAGCAGGUCCGGUGAGGCUGGACUAGAAUAGUAAACACAGAAGGUGAUCUUCCUUGAUGAGAGGAAGGGAUUUUCGGAAUCCCUUGAUGUGGUCGGUUGGAUCUCCGACUCCUGCAUAUUGAUCGAACUUGGGGGCAUUGAGUUUGUUUGGCAAAUAAUGUUCUAGGAUCUCCUUGGAGAAAGGAGACUCCUGGAACUGCUGGAGGGACUGGACAGCAAGUUGCUCCGCGGUGUGGCUUUUGGUAUGAUGGAGGAUAGCCUGAGAGGCUUUGAACUCUGCUAACUGUUGGCUGAGUUGCUCGUACUUCUGGUGGGAGUCAUCAACAGGAAUGACUCCAUGACCACCGUUUGCUACUGGUGCUGGGUUGGUAUCUUGUGCAGCCCUCAAGCGUGCAUUCUCUUCCUGCAGACGAGUGAUUUGUUCAUGCAGAUCCUGGAUGGUUAACUCUGUGGUAGUCAUUUGAGUGAGUGAUUUUGAUUUGGGUGGGAGGGUUUGGGUUUUUCGAUUAUAUCGAAUUCCUUGCAGUCGGCGCCAAAUGUAUUAACCUAUUUCUAGAUUAAUGCACUACUAGAUCAGGUCGUUGGGAGACUUGACCAAAGGGGAAGUUUUAGAUCGGGGUGGCUGCACCUCGUUGAGAUUGAGAUUGCCUACGUACUCUUAGCUCGAGGGGAUUGAACUUAGAGAUCAAGCCAUCGUAGUUCUGUUCUUAUAGAAGGUAGAAAGGCGUGGAUCGUGGAUCUUGCAGAUUCUCCGUCAUCAUAAUGAGAAUUAAUUGUGUAACGCGCGAGGAUCAUCCCUGUGAAUUAAUUAUGUAACUGACGAGGAUAUUCUGUGCAUUGAAUGAGAGCACGUGUGUAUUAGCAGGCCGCUGCUUGUCAUGAGAUCGAGUUGUUGUGGUCGAGCUACUAGCAGGUAGAGAUCGUGGCGACCUGAUGGAUGAAUGACUGUGCCACGUGGCUGCUUUUGAUUGGUUGGAGUAUGUAGUACCCCUACAUAACAUAUUAUUUCGAUCUUAAAUAGUAUAUACAUGUUUCAUCCCUUUUGAAUGUGGGCGGUGAUCUGAUGUUGUGUGGUACACUGGUACUGAUUAGUUAUUUGAGCACAACAACAUUUCCAUUAAAUCAAACAACUCCUAUAAUGCUCUGGAGCAAAGCCUUAAUGCAUGUUCUCCCAAAAUCCCCAAAAUAGCAUGUAUACUGUUCGUUUGCAGUCACCCCAGGCCAGUUACAUCACUGCUUUCUGCUUAGUUGGGUUCUCACUCCAAAGAAAAUUGUUUAACAAUCUCUCCUCCUCCUUGAUCAUACUCUGUGGGUAUUUGUAUUGCCAUGCAUGUUGUGCAGUGGUUAAAUACAUAACACAGAUAGAAUAAGAACACACCUCUCUUUGAAAGAGAGUAACUUGCUUUUCCCACGUAGCAGCAUCAUGUGAAUACGAUCACUCAAUUAUGAGUUCAUGAACACGCGCGUACUUCAUCAAAAUAAUGGAUGUGUCCAAAAUAUAAAAUAGGCUAACUGAAAGAAGCAAAAUAAAUGAACUGGAAUUAUUGAAAAAGAAAAAAUAGGAAGGUUAGUGACAAUAGAUUAGGAAUUUUUAUAUGACUAAGCUUAAGUGAUUCAUGCAUACUUGUUGGAGUGUUGAAGCUACUAAACAUAAGCAAUUGUAUGCAUAUGGUACAUGUUUCCAGUGUACCAUUUGUCCGAAUAAGCAAAGCAGCCAGCACACCUAUUAUAAAACAUGCCAUGUUGCACCAAGAAAAGCAUGUCAUACUGCACCAGGAAGUCAGUACUGUACUGAUUUGGUUAUUAAGCUUGCCAGAACUGGCAGGCAGCCUAGCAAAGCCCAACCACCAUUUUGUCACACUUCGCAGCAGUAUUUUUUUCUCCUCAUAUUUAGGUGGUGACAUGGCUGCUAUGUAUUUUGGUAUACCUGGUUUUAAUGCAGCUAUGGUCCUGAAUUAUUUUUGCCGUUUUUUAUUAAUUGUUGUUGUUCUCUAAUAUUUGAAACCAAGUUUUAGCAUUUAAUCCCUAGGUUAUUUAUGUUCUUAGUAAUUAAAGUGUACUGAACAGUAAAUCACAAAUAACAAUAGUAAUGAUAUCAUAUUAGUCCUAAAAUCAUAUCAACAAUCAGACAUAAUUGAGCAAAUUCAUUAAUAAUUGAAAUAAAAUAAAACUAUUUUCUCAACAUUUAUUCUUUAAUUGUACCUAUUAUAGAUCAAUCCAACUGUAACUAUUUUUUAUCUAUAUACCUAAACAGAGGGGCUCUUAUACGGUCCGUCCGUAUACGGACUUCAUGUUUUUAGAAAAUAUCACGUGAGAUUAAAUUGGUUUACGUAAAUAUAGGUUCUCACACCGGUUUUAGAAAAACCCAGUUAGGCCCAUUUGAAGUUUUCUUCUUUACAGCAAACACUCUUCCUCUUCCCUGUUCGUCUGAUGGCCUUCUCUACAUCCUUUCUUUCAUGAAAAAACCCUCGUAAGUUGGUUAUCACUCUAGCUCUCUCCGUCUUUGUCCUUCUCCUUAGAUGUGAAGCUUGUGCCGAGCCCGAGAACUUUCUUACAAUCGGUUUGGUUAGUAGUUUGUUGUACUUGAUCUCCAUCUCCAUUUUCAGUUUUUAAUUACCUUUUCAUAUUAAGAUGGAAUCCAUAAAAUUUGUAAUAUUGUUUUUUAUUUAUUUUAUGGUGAUUGAGAAUUGGUCCUCAUCCAUAUAGAUUUUGUUUUGCUGAAGUUCAUAACAGGUCCUAAUAUGUAAGUGUUUUUGAGUAUUUGUAUUAGACUAGAACAUCCAGUUAGUGACAUACGGAUCAAACAUAGCAAUAUGUUCCUCCCUCUUUAAGAAAAAAAAAAGAAGAAAUUAAUAGUUGAUGUUCUGCGACUCUUCUCCCUUAUUGCAAUCUCUAAUUCUCCCAGCCUAAAGGGUUCGAUCUUGUAAGCAUGAGCAACUCGACCGACUACAGACUUCACAUGAUUCCUCAAUUUUAUUUUAGUUUCCCAUUAUCAUUGUUAUGUAGAAUUUAGGUUUGCCAUCGAUUUUGUUUGUUUUUCGGUCUUUAGAGCAAUGAUUGAUGAUAUGUAUUAGAGUUUUGGAAAAAAAAUUGGGAAAUUUUUCUGUGUUACAGAAGAUGUACAGUAGAUAUUUGAUAAAAUGCUCAAGUCAGUUGAAGUGCAUACCAUCGUUGUCAAUGGAUGGUUGUGGUCACCCAUGAAACUAUUAAUUUCUUCUUUGUUUUUCUUAAAGAGGGAGGAACAUAUUGCUAUGUUUGAUCCAUAUGUUACUAACUGGAUGUUCUAGUCUAAUACAAAUACUCAAAAACACUUACAUAUUAGGACCUGUUAUGAAUUUCAGCAAAACAAAAUCUAUAUGGAUGAGGACCAAUUCUCAAUCACCAUAAAAUAAAUAAAAAACAAUAUUACAAAUUUUAUGGAUUCCAUCUUAAUAUGAAAAGGUAAUUAAAAACUGAAAAUGGAGAUGGAGAUCAAGUACAACAAACUACUAACCAAACCGAUUGUAAGAAAGUUCUCGGGCUCGGCACAAGCUUCACAUCUAAGGAGAAGGACAAAGACGGAGAGAGCUAGAGUGAUAACCAACUUACGAGGGUUUUUUCAUGAAAGAAAGGAUGUAGAGAAGGCCAUCAGACGAACAGGGAAGAGGAAGAGUGUUUGCUGUAAAGAAGAAAACUUCAAAUGGGCUUAACUGGGUUUUUCUAAAACUGGUGUGAGAACCUAUAUUUACGUAAACCAAUUUAAUCUCACGUGAUAUUUUCUAAAAACAUGAAGUCCGUAUACGGACGGACCGUAUAAGAGCCCCUCUGUAUACCUAAAAACCUACUGUUGAGAAACCUUAUAUUGUUUCUAUAUUUAUUACUCCUCAUCUUCUUCACCUUUGUUAGAUUCCUCUUUUGUCUUUUGUUUUUUCUUCAUUGGCUCAUCAAUGGAAUCCUCAACAUCUAGCUUCUCCUUUUUUUUUCGUGCAUAAUACAUUAAACUUGAUUAAUAUUUUCUAAUAUUAAAUUUUAUUUUUAAAUGAUUUUUUUUUUUUUACCUUUUCAAUGAACAUCAUCCUAUAUUUUGCUUCUUUCAUUUCAGGGAGAUGACCUAUCUUUUUAGCAGUGAAUGAUGAAGUAUCUUUUGUUUCCUUGUUGUACUUGGUUAUCUUUACGAGAAAUGAUGUGGUUUUCCUUCUAAAUUUUUGAAAAUCUUUGCAACUUGGGCUUCUCCAUUUUCAUGUUUGACAUAUAGACAUAUAGACAUAUAUAUAUAUAUAUAUAUAUAUAUAUAUAUAUAGAGAGAGAGAGAGAGAGAGAGAGAGAGAGAGAGAGAGAGAGAGAGAGAGAGAGAGAGAGAGAGAGAGAGAGAGAGAGUGUAUAAAUUUUUGUUUACCUUUAAGCUAAUUGCGACCAUUUCAUCUGCUGUUUUUUAAGUAAGGUUUUGAAUUUGAUAACCAAAUCCAGGGACUUUUAUUGUGCGUGUUGCAUCUUUGAUCUCUAUGGUUAGCCUGUACCUGUAUCCAUAUAAGAUUUGAAGUUAGUUUUUGUUCCAUUUUAUCGUAGGAUAUAUUCAUAAGUUUAUUGUAUUACAUUUAUAUGCAUCGACUUCCUUGUUGCAUUCUUCACAAUAGUAUGUCCCAUCAGUCUUAUUUACUCGUUUGUUACAUUUUUGGCAUGCUUUGUAAUGCCACUCAUAGAAGUGUAGUAUUUUUGAUAUUGUUGCUUCACAGGUAUACUCAUCUUCCUGCAUUAUUUUAAAUAAAAUAAUGUAAAUUGUACAAUUAAGAUAGUAUAGUUAUUGAACAACUAAUAGAAAAACUAACUUCUUAUGUCGCAUUGUGUAUUGCAUCACUAAUCGGAGCUAAUGUCCGUACAUUGUUAGUAAUUCCAGGUAUUUCUUCCGUCCUUUUUUUUUUUUAAUUGCAGUAAAUUGUAAAAAGCAUUCUGUUGAUCUGGUUUUUUGUUUUUUAUGGAGUUAUAUUUUUAUUGGUAGGAAUAAUUUUACCUUUGUGUGAAGGAUAUAACUUGAGGCAUAGGCAGGUUGACAUGAAUUUUUUGUUGCCGAAAUUGAUUGGAGAUAGAUACCUGUCAAUACUUUUUUUUUUUAUGAAUGUAAAAGUUUUAAAAAAAAAAACUAUUUGUUAAUUUAAUUAUUUUAACUAUUGGGAGUUGGUUGAGAUUCCAUGUACUCAUGGAAUUGUUGUCAUAUAUCAUUUGAAGAUGGAACCUGAUGAUUUUGUUUCUAAUUGGUACCAUGUAAGUACUUGUAAAAAAACCUAUGAGAUGUAUAUUCAUGGACUUAAUGGACCAGCUAUGUGGCCAAGGACAUACUGUGAUCACAUUCACCCACCAUUGAAAAAAAAAAAAAAAAACCUGGUAGGCCAAAGAGAGCUAGGAGGAAGGAGAUGCAUGAGGAUCAAGGUGGAACUAAGAAGGUGUUGCCAAGAACAGGGAAGCACAUGACAUGUACAAAUUAUGGAAUAACUGGUCAUAAUAAGAGAGGUUGUAGAAAUGUUGGUGUAAGUACUCUAUCUGUACUAUAUAUAUAUAUAUAUAUAUAUAUAUAUAUAUAUAUAUAUAUAUAUAUAUAUAUAUAUAUAUAUAUAUAUAUAUAUAUAUGAUACGAUAAGAACAUUUAUGUAUACUAACAUUUAUGUGUUUUGAUGUAAUAUUAUCGGCGGAAGCAAACAAUAAUAAGAACACCAAUUAAAUAAAUGGUUUGAACACCCAAAAACUAGGGUUCUUCACAAAAACGAAUUUAAUGUCUCAAGACAUAAACAAAUCUUCAAUCUAACCUACUCAAUAGGGUUUACAAUCCCCUAUUUAUAAUAGCCUAAACCUAAUCCUAACUAAACUAGAAAGCUAAGUAAAUAGAAACUACUACUAGGGAUGUUCUAAUCCAUAUAGGAAUCUGCAGGAACUAUGAGGCAUGUGCCUUGCACAUGGUAUCUUUAUGCAUAUGCAUCAAAUCCCCCCAACUUGAAAAAAACUCGUUCUCGAGUUUGUGUACUAACAUCCUCCAAAGUUCAAAACGACUCUUGUACAUCAACCUCAACCUUACGUUGGUGCAGAAAAUCCGGCCAUGAAUCUUCCCCAGAUAGUUGCUCGCAGAAAGAAUGAUGGGCAUUAAUGUCAUAGGUGCAUCAUUAGGACAACCCAAUUGAUUGGAACAAUAUAGCCGCAUGUCAAGAAAUAAGAAUUGAAGGUGUUUGUCCCUCCAUGGAGAAAAUCCAUUCUCAUCUUGGAAUAGAUAAGGAUCAACAUAACCACCAAACAAAUUACCAAUUACUUUUAUGGGACGGAAUUUGUAAGGAUGAUAAAAAUCAUCAAUUUGUCGGUCGGAAUCAAUGGAAUUCAUCGAUUCAUGGGAGUGAUGAGCGAAAUUCCGAGAACGUUCAUCCUCUUUACCAUUGUCAUGGACAACAACCAGGUUUCCUUGCUUGGGCAACAAAUAGAACUUCUUAUUUAUCUCCCUUGCAGAUUUUUCAAUCAAAUCUUCUACUUGAUCCACACAUGCAACUUCUAACUCAAGAGACACAAAACUAGAUGUAUCAUCACUAUCAUCACCAAAAACGGAAAAGAAAUCAACAAGAUUGUAACUUUGUAAACCACCAAUUCGAGUACGAGUGACGAAUUUUUCUUCUUCAAACAUGUUGAGUAAGAAAUUAAUCUCCGCUUCUUUGUCAAGUCGUUUCUCUUCUUCAACAAAUUCUUCCUUAAAACUCGCAAAUUGACUUUUUAAUUUAGUAAAGCAAUUUAAAAGUUCCUUCAAACCUUUUUGUAUGCUUGGUGACGUCAUGGAGGUAUCGCUCUUAGAAUCGAUUUCAGAUUCAAUAUAGUGUGGGUAUUCUCCAUACGGAGUAACCUUAGAAUUGCGAUUACGAAGACCAUCGUGAUCAUAAGUCUUUGGACGGUUUCCAUGGGAAUAUUUAGCACCAUAAGCAACAUAUUGUUGCUGAAAACCACAUCGAGGAGGGUGCGUGUCCUGCUGGUGGUGGGAAUAAUAUCCAUUGUCAUAAUAACUAUGAUGUUGCCUGCGUGGGGGAGAAGGGGAACGAGAGGAAGAGGGAGGUUCAUACCUUCUAGAAAGAGGAAAGCGGCGACUAGGAUCAAAGUUGGGAGCUUUAUAUUCAGAAUCGGUAUAACGCUUCGAUUCAUGUAAACUCCAGCGAUCCGGCGGCGACGAAAAUUCUCUUUGACCUCUUCUACGAUAACCCAUCUUCAAAUCACCAACAUGAACGCGGCUCUUGUAAUAAAAAUCAGGUUUUUAUCUUCUAAACCCAGAAAAAACAAGCUCUUGAUACCAAUUUUGAUGUAAUAUUAUCGGCGGAAGCAAACAAUAAUAAGAACACCAAUUAAAUAAAUGGUUUGAACACCCAAAAACUAGGGUUCUUCACAAAAACGAAUUUAAUGUCUCAAGACAUAAACAAAUCUUCAAUCUAACCUACUCAAUAGGGUUUACAAUCCCCUAUUUAUAAUAGCCUAAACCUAAUCCUAACUAAACUAGAAAGCUAAGUAAAUAGAAACUACUACUAGGGAUGUUCUAAUCCAUAUAGGAAUCUGCAGGAACUAUGAGGUAUGUGCCUUGCACAUGGUAUCUUUAUGCAUAUGCAUCAUGUUUUAUGUCAUAGCUUCCACCUAGUGCAUAAACUAAUACCAAGAAAAAGAAGAAGACAACUGCAUCAACAAGUGCUCCACAGAAAGAUGGUGCAUCAACAAGUGGUACAAAGUCCAAAAAAACUGUAAGUAUAUAAAAUGUUUCUUUGAUACUUGAUAGUGUUUUUUUUUUUAUGUUGUUGUAAAUGUUAGUUGCUCUGUACAUAAUUCCAGCAGGGGAAUGCCAAAACAAAAACAAAAACAAAGGACAAUGUUUCUGAAAUGUAAAUAAAUGGUAUUCAUCUAAAUGAAAUUAAUGUUGAAAAUGUAAAUGAGAGUCCUGUAUUUGGUGAUGUUGGACCAAGUGAGAGACCUGCAAAGUUACCAACUAGGAGGAAGGGAAAGGCCAACACAAAGGAUAAUGUUUCUAAAAUGCAGAUAAAUGGUAUUUGAAAAAAUUAUAUUAAUGUUGAAAAUGUAAAUAAGAGUCCUGUAUUUGGUGAUGCUGGACCAAGUGAGUGACCUCCAAAGUUACCAACUAGGAGGAAGGGAAUGGCCAAGAACAAAGAUAAAGAAGAAAAUGAGGUUCUAGUUCAAUUGCCUGCAACAAAACCAGUUAGAAAGGGAAGAAAAAACAAAAAUAAUGAACAUGAGCACUUUGAAGUUGAGCAUGAAGUAGCAGUACUAUUUAAACAUGCAAAGAAAGGAAAUGUUAGGAUGAAGGGUAUAAACAAAACAUCUGCUGGUAUGAGAGUCCUUAAUCUUCCUAAUGGAGAGGUUUUUGUAAAGGUAAAUAUCAACUGAUUGUGUAUUAUUUGUAUUUGUGUAUUACAAUUAAUUGUGUAUAAUUUGUAUAUUUGUUGUCUGACAGCUUGGAACAAAAAGAGGCAAGUAUAUUCCACCAGAUUAUGUGAGUGACCAUGGACCCUCACAAACUUUAGCAUCAAUUCCAGGUUCAAAUCCACAAACUAUUCCAAGUACACCACCACCUCUUCCAGUAAGGAGAACACCUAGGAAGCCAGCUCAGUCUCAAGUUGUGUCUCCUAGAACUAGGUUUUCUUUGAGGAGGAUGGUUGUUGAUGCUUUGGUUGAUCUUCAUAAUCCACCACCUAGGAGGAGCCCAAGGAAAGGAAAAGAGGUUGCAGCAUCUACUCAAAAAACAAAGGCUACCAAAACUUUGGGUCUAAAGAGAAAAAAUGCUACUGCAUUCAACAAAGGAGGGAUUGUUAUAGAUUGAUCAUGGAUGCACUGCAGACUAUUUUUUGCUUGUGUAUUUUGGUCCUUGAUAUAUAUUGUGUAUUUUGUUAUAGAUUGAUCAUGGAUGGACAAGUUAUUUUGGGAGUCUAUUUAUGUAGUUUUGGGAGCUGAAACAUUUGUUUGUCCUUUUGGUAGUGUAAUGGACAAAGUAUCUUCAACUUAAUGGAAAUCUUUUGUGUUAUGUUUUAACUGUUCAUUCCUUUGGUAUUGUUUGCUUUAAAUUGUACAAUUUUGUACAUUGUUUUUCAAGUUCAGAACUGCUACAAAAAGCACACUGAAUUCAUCACUUUAUUCAUUUUAUAAAUGUUCAGAUACACUUCAUUCAAAGAUACAUAAUAAAAUAAAACCAAGAGCAACAAUUACAGCCAACACUAACAUCCAUUUAUUUGAUCAUGUUGCAAUCUUCAAUUUUUUUUUCAAGAGCAAGUUUUGAUUUCUCUAGUUUUGUAUUUUUAUUUUCCAAAAUGCGAUUUUUGUUUUUCAGCUCUUAAAUUCGAUUCAUGAAGUAUUCUUCCCUCUUCAUCGUUUCCAAUUGAGUUUUUGGUACAAGAUUAUCAACCCGCACAAAGUAAUACAUUCUCCCCUCACACAGUUGAUGAAUUUUCGAUUUUUGUUGGCUUCUGUACCCGAAACUCUAAUUGGAGCAUCAAUUACACAUUUUCAGGUGGCGUAUGGGUUAGUAUAAGACUUGGUGGAGCUUGAAGACAUGGUUUUCAUGAAAUUUGGGGAAGAAAAGGUAAGAAGAAGGUUAAAUUAGAUUUCUAGGGUUUUACUGGUAUAAAUAGACGAAGGAAGAAGAUGAUGCUUAAAUAAACUAGCCGUUGGAAAUUCUGUUGUGCAACGAAAGCUUUAACCUAAGGAUUGGUUGUAAUACCGAUAAUCUAGAUGAUAGCAAAUAACAGAGAAAGUAAUCGAAAAAAUACAAUCACACACAAUAACACCAAUAUUAACGUGGUUCGGCAAACCCACUUACUCCACCCGGCAACCGAUCAAGAAGAUUUCACUAAUAAGAGAAAAGAAACAACCUAAUUACAAAUCUAUAAUUCCUUGUCUCUUUCUCUCUCACACUAGAACCUGAGAAACCCUAUUAUGAAAACCCUCAUAAAUUUGUCUCUCCCUAUCUACUAAUGCUUUCACCUUUGGUUCACUCUCUCUUCUUACCACCCCUUUACAAUUGCCAACUAGUUGAGUAUAUAUAAUACCCAAGAGUUCCUAAUCCAUACAAGGAUCCAAAUUGGAUAACAAAACCAAUUACCAAUUAGAAUACCAAGUACUUAUGGGAGUAGAAUUCCUACACACAUUGUUUCUAGAAACAAACAUAAGAUAUGAUCAUAUAGACCUCACUUAAUAUAAGCUAUGAUCUUGCGCAUUACGAGCCAAUACACAACAAUCUCCACCUUGGCGAGCCAAUUAACUUGAUUAUUGUUGACUCCACCCUCGCCCGUGAAACCUUCUUGAUCCAUGUUGCCGCCUCCACUCUUUUGGGUGCCCAAUCAAUUAUGAUUGACCGACAAGUUUGAGAUACCCUCAAACUUGCCCACAGGAAUCCACUUGCUGACCAUCUUUCUCUUUCUUGAGUUCUUUCCUUCUGCAGCCACCUUGUUUAUAACAAAACCAUGUGAUUUAAACAUCACCUUGCCUGUAUUAGGACCAACUCUAGAUCUUACUAUUGUUUGACCCAAUAGUAUAUACAAACCACUACUACUCGUGACUCCUUUCAUGAUCACAUUGGAAUAUCUGCAAACCUCUACAACUCCACCUUUGCCAGUGAACUUGUAACCCAAAUAAUCUAACUUGAAAAGAGAAAUUAGUUCUCUUUGCAAACUCGACACAUGUCAAACACCUUCAAGAGUAUGUAUCCUCUUGUCAUACAUCUUGAUGUGAAUAUUACUGACUCGCACUAUCGACUUCUUGGAGCCAACACACAUCGACAUCCAGCCACCAUCACAUCUUUUAUACUUGUCGAACCAUGACCUAUGUGAACAAACAUGUUUUGUGGCACCGCUAUCAAGUACCCAUUCCCGAUGUAAAUUUUUUUCUUGAGUAGUCACCAAGAGUAAUUCAUCAUCAAACUCCACUUGAUUAGCCUGUCCGCCAGAAUUAGCAAUAUGCUUGCCUUUCCCUGAUCUGGAGCUAUUUGCCGAAACCGCUCCACCUUUUUCCUCACAAUCCCGUUUAAAAUGCCCUGUUUUUCCCCACUUCCAACAUUCUAUGUGAGCCUUGUUACUCUUGUUAAAUCAUUUUCGUGAGCCCUCAUUAAUCACCAAACCCUCACCAUGAGAUUCAUCGUCUCUGCCUUUAUUUCUAAUUUCACGAGAUAAAAGAACACUGACAACCUUAUCCAAUUCCAGAGUUUCCUUUCCAUAGAGCAACGUGGUGAUAAUAUGCUCAUAAGAUUGGGGCAUGGAGUUCAGAAGUAGAUGUGUUUUAUCUUCAUCCUCUAACUUCACUCCAACAUGAACCAAUUCAGAAAGCAUGCUAUUGAAGACACUGAGAUGUUCAUUAAUACUUGUACCUUCUGCCAUCCUCAACCUGUAAAGUUGCUGCUUGCGGUACAAUCGAUUUGAUAACGACUUACUCAUAUACAAACUUUCAAGCUUUAUAACAAAAGUUUUACCGAAGAACUUUCUGUGAGAACGUUUGACAAGACCUCCUUCGUUAAACACAAUCGAAUCGCACUAGUAGCCUUCAAAUUAAAUUUUUCCCAAACAUCAUCUGCCAUAUCCGUCGGUUUUCCCUUUAAUGCUUUGUGUAGCCCGGAUUGUACCAAGAGAUCUUGGACUUGUACUUUCCACAAACCAAAAUUCAUCUUUCCAUCGAACUUCUCUACAUCAAACUUCAAAACUGAACUUGAAAACCUUUGCGCCAUCUCGAAAAUCCCUACAACCUAGAACCUUGCUUUGAUACCACUUGUUGUGCAACGGAAGCUUUAACCCAAGGAUUGGUUGUAAUACCGAUAAUCUAGAUGAUAGCAAAUAACAGAGAAAGUAAUCGAAAAAACACAAUAACACACAAUAACACCAAUAUUAACGUGGUUCGGCAAACCCGCCUACUCCACCUGGCAACCGAUCAAGAAGAUUUCACUAAUAAGAUAAAAGAAACAACCUAAUUACAAAUCUAUAAUUCCUUGUCUCUUUCUCUCUCACACUAGAACCUGAGAAACCCUAUUAUGAAAACCCUAAUAAAUUUGUCUCUCCCUAUCUAGUAAUGCUUUCACCUUUGGUUCACUCUCUCUUCUUACCACCCGUUUACAAUAGCCAACUAGUUGAGUAUUACCCAAGAGUUCUUAAUCCAUACAAGGAUCCAAAUUGGAUAACAAAACCAAUUACCAAUUAGAAUACCAAGUACUUAUGGGAGUAGAAUUCCUACACACAUGGUUUCUAGAAACAAACAUAAGAUAUGAUCCUAUAGACCUCACUUAAUAUAAGCUAUGAUCCUGCGCAUUGCGAGCCGAUACACAACCGUUUCUCACGUGCAAAGCACGCAUCAACUUAACCAUUAUUGUUUUUUUUUUUUCUAUUUUUAUUAUUUACUUAGGUGUCAUUGUUUGACAAACCACAUCAUACAUAUUUUUCCGCGUCACAUAGUUCAAUGGAGAAAACUACCAGAGACUUUUUCAAUGUUAGUCAAGAAAGUUGACUCAAAGUUCAUUGUCAAGUUUGUACUUCGUUGUCAGUUUUGCAAUCAACUUCAAACUUCGUUGUCAAAGUGAGUAUUUUGGUCGUGUAGUGGUAGUUAAGUUUAAUGACAUUAAAAAUCACAAAUCGACUAUUUUUGGAUAAGAUAAAUUUACUAAUCAACUUACAAAUUAUUAUUUUUUUUACUAAUAAAACACUUACAAAUUACUACAUUAAUCGGAUUCAGUUUCAAUUGAUUAAGGUUUUGUUGCUUAAUGUAUUAAUCAACUUAACAAAAUCAUGAUUUUACUUACCAAGUACUAGGUGUUGAGUUGAUUAAUACAUUAAUCGAUUAGAAUUUUUUUUUCUUGAUUAAUGUACCAAUCAACUUAACAGAAAGGAUACAAAUUUUUUAGUGCUUAAUGACAUUAAUCAACUCCAACAAUAGUUGAUUAACUUACAUAUCAAUUACUACAUCAAUCAAACAAUGAAAAUUAAGAAAGAAAAUGUAAAGUAGAUGAAAUUUAAGAAAGAAAUUUACAUAAAAAUCAUAAAUAUAGAAUUGUAAAACCUAACUUACCUCGAAAUCAGAAACGUCUUCUUCAACUUGAGGAAUUUCUUCCUCUAUUAUAUCUUGCAAAUCUUGUUUCCCAAGUUUCUUCGUCCUCCUUGUUAUAGAAUGACCUUCCGUUCUUGGUCGUUGUUUAUCUAUUGCCAUUGUAGAUCUAGGUCUUUUAGUGGGUUUUUUCGAGAGGGAUUGUUUGAGAGUUUUUAGAAACUUGAUUGGAAAGUGAACUGGAGAAAAAUUUGAAGCAAAAAUUGAAGAAAAUCUAAAGAAUUUUGAGUGAAAUCAGCUAUUUUCAAAGAGUGCAGGAGAGGGAGGGAGAGAAAGAGGGGGAGAGAGAGAUUAGUUAGGGUUUUGUUCAAAAAUCUCAGAAACCGAAACGUCCUAAAAAUUAUUACACCGGUUAAAUUAACCGUAAAUUUUAAUCGAAUUAUUACAGUUGUUAAAUUCCCACGAGGGUACAUGCAUCAAAUCACAUUCGUUGUCCGUGAGGUGAAUGAAGCAUUUCUGUUGUCCCGGAGAUGAAUGAAAUGUUAUAUUUGUUCCUUGGGCACAAAUUGCUGCAAAAACAAACAAGGGUCAUUUUGUCCGAAUACCUUUUUUUGUAACGUAUUUUUUGGCAAUACACCCCAUUAGUUGGGAAAUUGUUUUUUUUCACUCAAAUAAUAGCUUGACUUUGUGAAUUAAGCAGUCCACUUUUGUUGACCAAGUCAAACCUAGAAAGUUACUUUUCCUUUCAAAUUCUAAAAUACCCAACUUACCCUGAAUUAAUCAAAACCGUCGAUUGAUGUAUUUUUAUCAGAUCAAAAUCUUGGUCGUUUAUAUUUAUAACCGUUGGGAUCAUCUUUCUUUCUUUUUAUAAAACCUUAAUUAGUUCCACUCCAACUCAACUGUAUUUAUAGCCGUUGGGGUCGUCUUUUAUCGUUAUUUGUGGGACAAGCGGAAGGUGGCCGUGAUAAUGCCUCGACGCCGGUGGGAAGGAAGGAUUCUUCAUGACAAGAACCACAACUAUGUCUUCAGUAGUACUUUGUGGUGCGAGAUAUCAAAUACGUUGGAGAUGCAGGUCGGUGAUCGCGUGUUGCUGGAGCACGUAGAUGUUUGCCCUAUACGGGUUAUGUUUGCAGUUGGCUCGAAUGGAUGGCACACAGAUCCAAAUCUUGCUAACCUGGUUCCACCCCUUCCACCGUCUCCUGGACCAUCUAUGCACGCACCCUCUCCAAUGUCUCCACGACCUUGUGCGCAUGAGACUGACGAUGACCCUAUCUAUGUUCGGACCGCUAAUGACGAGGAGCUCGUGAAUGACAACAUGGAGGAUGACAGUGAUGACGAGUAAAAGAAUUAGAUGAGGUUGUAGGUGAACAUUGUUAAACCAGGACUUGCUAGGAUUUCAACUUUGUGUAAUCGAAACACUUGACAUAAUUUGCGUUCUAAAAUUUGUGUAUUAUAUACAUUGAGAAUAUAUUUUGAUGUGGAUUGUUUGACGAAAAUAUGUUUAUUUUCAUCAAAUAGUCUUUUCAAAGAAAAAAAAAAUAGUCUUUUAAAAAGGUUAAAAUUAGUAUAUUGGUGAUGGGCUUUUAAUUUAUCUAAAAAAAGGGUUAAAACAGGCCCAACUGAUCCAAGUUAAUUGGAAAAGCCCUAUGUUUAUUAAAGCCCAAUACUUUUGCCCGAAAGUUUAGUGUGCAAAUGAAAAAUCGCAGAAAAACGGCCAAUGUUUAUCAGCGCUACUUCUAGCCUUACAUGCAAUCUGACUCGGAGAUCUUUGUGCAACAUUGUGACAAAUGUUAACGCUUCUCACCCUUAAAAAACCAACCCCCGAGAGAUCUCAAGACGAUAUCUAGCCCAUGGCCAUUUGUCAUGUGGGGGCUCGAUAUAGUGGGGCCUCUUUCGAAGGAUAAGAACAAAAGGCGAUAUCUCUUGGUUGCCACCGAUUACUUUACUAAGUGGGUAGAGGCAAUUCCACUUCGGAAAAUUAGACAACAAGAAGUCAAGAAUUUCAUCUGGAAAUACAUAAUCACCCGAUUUGGCCUACCACACACAUUGGUCACUGAUAAUAGCCAACAAUUUUGUGGGAGCACGAUUAAGGAGUUUUAUUCGGAUUGGCGAAUCAAUCAUGCAUUAUCUACACCACGAUACGCACAAAGUAAUGGCCAAGCUGAAGCCACUAACAAGACAAUAAUGAAUACACUCAAGAAAAAGUUAGAAGCGGAAAAAGAUAAGUGGAUACAGGAGCUAGAUAGAGUCCUAUGGGCCUAUAGAACGACUCCACGCACCUCGACAGGCGUUUCACCAUUCGUACUAUGCUAUGGUACUGAAGCUGUUAUACCCACCGAGUUGACCUACUUAACAACAAGGUCGGAAUUGGUAGAAUCAGCUGAAAACGAGAAUCUCUUAGCGCAUGAGGUAAACAUGUUGGAAGAAAGGCGAGAUAAGGCUAUCAUACAAACAGCUUGUUACCAACAAAUAUUAAGGAGGAGCUAUAAUCAAAAAGUAAGGCCAAGGACUUUCCGACUAGGAGACUUGGUCUUAAGACAAACUUUUCAGAACACCAAGAUUGCGGGUGAUGGAAAAUUCAAUCCCAACUAGGAAGGGCCCUACAUUAUUCAAUCCGACUUGGGUAAUUGAGCGUACAUAUUAAUUGAUCAUGAAGGAAACCAAGUCGAUAGACCAUGGAAUGGAAAAUAUCUUAAGGCGUACAUUCCAUAGAAUAAACACUUGAACGGAAAAACAACAACAAGUUUUAAAGCAAAUUAGGCAAGAAUUAGAAGGAAAAAGACAGAAAACGGAGAAGAGAAGAGAAUUACCUUCAAGACAAUGAGCGGCAGCCUUAAAAACCAAUGCGUAAACCCUUGGUUUUUCCAGCAGUUACAAGCAAAUUGUUAUAUAAAAACCCGUGCAGAAUCUCAGCCACACAUCGCCUCGAACGUGAACGGUCAGAUGUUGAUUUCUAAAUCUAACCGCCCAACCAUUCGGUUUCCCACCAAACCACAUUCGAUUUUUCAAAACACAGCCAAUACACAACUCACACGUGUACAGACAACACACAUAUCUCAAGGAGUAAUCAUGUCCCUAAGCCUCGAAAAUCUAAGCUAUCAUUCACAUCAGCACACAAUGGAAUCUUCGCCUUUUGGCACUCCAUCGAACAUAUCUUAACAACCGACUUCAUUUUCAUUUACCCUAAAGCCAAUUACCUACCUUCAACCCAAAUGAAAAGGGGCUAUGUAUAUACCAAUUACCGAGUUCUCUUACUUGGAAUACCAAACACCAACUUUACACUUAUUUCAUCCGACUUCGUAUCUAAUCACACUUUACUCAUCUCUAUUCAAAUCCUAAUCUCACUAACUCGGUAUACUGAACACCGACCUUGCACUUAUUUCAUCCGACUUCGUAUAAAACCACAUUUCACUCAUUUCUGUUCAAAUCCUAAUCUCAUAAAAUAUCCGAGCACAUCCGACUUGGGGUUAUCUCACUCUGAACACCGAGUUCAAUAUAUUCAAACUCCAAAUCUUAUGUCAGUUACGGAUCUUUCUCAUUGAAUCCCUGAAUAUCCGCAUACUUUAUGAUUUGAACGUUGAGUCAUUAAUUCGAUCCACACCCUAAGCCACCUAUAUAAGGAACUACGUUUGGCUUGAUUCUGGAUCGACCCCUUCCAGAUACGUAGGCAGCUAUCACUGCUCAAAUAGUUCAGCCACUUCAAUUCAUCCAAACUCUCACUUUCCGAUCAUCUUCUCCAACUUUCCGAUCCCAAAACAUAUAUUACAUUUACAACAACAGUGCUAAAUUAAAGUGAGAAUAUAUAGUUUAAUGAGACGUCAAAAGAAUAUCAAUGAGAUGAAAGAUCUGGUUAUAUCUGCGGUCUAGAAUCGAGAAUAAAUAGGCCUUUAUUGUUGUUUGUCUUUACAUGUUGGCAGCUUGCUGAUGUGCAGUAUCAGAAAGUAAAUUGACGAGUAGGGGCUAUAUGGCUGAUCUAUGUCUACAUAUAUUUUCCACCAACAGGAUUACAUACAAGAACAAAUAAUAUCAAGAUGAGAUUCUUCUUCUCCAUUGCAAUUUUCUUUUACUUCUUCUUGUUUCCAAUUAUCUUCACCACCAUAACUCAUGGAACCAUCUUCGAAAUCCACAACAACUGCAGAGACACAGUCUGGGCUGCAGCUAUACCAGGUGGGGGCCGACAACUUAACACAAACCAAUCAUGGAUCAUGAAUUUGAAACCCAACAUACCUCAACAAGGCCAAAUUUGGGCCCGUACCAACUGCAGUUUCAGCAAAAGUGGUCAUGGAACUUGUGACUCAGGAGAUUGCAAUGGCCAACUGCAAUGCAAAUCAAAUGGUACUUCACCCUACACUCUUGUUGGAUAUUCUCUAAAUCAGAUCAACAACGAUAGAAAUUUUGUCCAUCUUUCUCUUGUCAAUGGAUUUAAUUUAGGGAUGGAUAUAAUUCCAAUAUUAUCUGAAUCCGAUGAUUCAAGCCGAGAGAUCAGAUGUAGAGCUGAUAUCAAUACCAAUUGUCCAGACACCUUAAAGGUACCUGGUGGUUGUAAAGACCCUUGUGCAGCUUAUGAUGACUGUAGUGGACCUACUCCCGAAACAAACUUUUUCAAGCAAAGUUGCCCUGAUGCGUAUAGUUACCCUUCAGAACAAGAUCAUGCUAUAAAUUAUAGUUAUCCCAGAACUACCAACUAUAGGAUUGUAUUUUGCCCAGGAGAGGCUACUUUGAGACACAGUUAUAUUACUUACAAAGCGUUACACCCAAAUAGACCAGCCUGCAAUAGCAGCUAUAGGAGCUAUACUAUUAAUUGUUUGCCCCCCACCCCCCACCCCCCACCCCCCUAAAGCACAUCUAGCAUAAUCUUCUUUGUAGCAGGAAUGCAGGAUCACUAUAAUUUCCUUUAUGCAUAGUGUUUGCCACUAUCGAACUCAACCUUUAUUUUCCUAUAUGCAAGGAUCCCAUGUACACAGAUUCUAUUGCAAAAGAAAUUACUAUUACUAUUCUUUUGAGUUUUGAUUCCUUUUAAGUAUGCAUGUUGUGGGAAAGAUUGAAAAGGUGUAGAAGGUGUAAUAAAUUGUAGGCAAAUAAAAAACUGUAUCGACAUCUCGUUUUUUCCCAGCCCAUAUUUGCAGUGGACAUGCUGUAAUGCUAUUGCCACAACAAAUAAAAAUUUACAUACUGUUUAGCGUCAUCAAAUUAGUGGAAGUGAUUGCUGUGCGUUUGUUGUACAUAUGCAAGUCCAAGAGGUCAACAUGAAUUUAAUACCGUUGUUUCACUCGCAGUCUCAGUCAAGGUGCUUCGCUUGAUCCAUCGAUGACUACAACCUGUAUAAAUGACUCCAGCUUCCUAAUCAUAGACACAAGAUCCUCAGGUCCUGGUAAGAACCUAUCAGGCUUCAACGGAGGGAUAAACACCGGCUAUCAACACACAAGGCAGAGCUCAGGGAGUUGAAUCCAAGGAUGGGAAUCCCUCACUCAAAGGAAAGAUCCAGAGGACUUGUAUCAAGGUGGCUCUUUUAUUUGUUGAUCCAAAAUGCAUAAUAUAUCUUAAAUGAUGGUUCUUGCUGGAUGAAGAAAAUCCCCAGCUACAAAAACAUGCCUUUCACACUCUACCUCAAUCCAACUGCAUCCAGCUGGUUUCUUCAGAUCUUUAUCCUUCAUCAAUUUCCUCAAUUCCUUAACCCCAUCGCAUCUUGCAUCUGCUGCAUAUAUAUUUGACAUCACUACAUAGUUUCCAAUAUUAUUUGCUUCAACCUUGAAAAGAUGAUCUGCAACUGUUCGCCCAAGCUCCACCUCACGUUGGUUUCGACAAGCACCCAGCAGAGUCCCCCACACAUUGGCAUUAGCUUCAUAUGGCAUUGCAGUUAUAAGAGAAUAUGCAUCUUUCAAACGCCCUCCCCGUGCGAGAAGAUCCACAGUGCAGGCAUAAUGCUCCAUUGUGGGCUUCAUUCCAUGUACCCUAUCAAUGGAUUCAUAAAUGCUCAAGCCUUCAUUCACAAGACCGGCAUGACUACAGGCUGAUAAAACAGUCGUUAAGAUAACAUGAUCAGGCUUAAUCUCCAAGUCCAUCAUGUUGUCGAAAAUCCGGAGUGCCUCCUUUCCCAUACCAUGCAUUGCAUACCCACCAACCAUUGCUGUGAACAUAACAAGAUCUUUCUGGAGGCUCAUUUGAAAUUAAAGAGCUUCUGAGCACUGUCAAUGCUUCCACAUUUUGAGUACAGAUCCAAGAGAGCUCCUUGCAACCGUACAUCUUGAAAAGAAGACCUGAUAAUGUAUCCAUGGCAUUGCCUCACCAGGUGCACAGAAGCCAAACGGGCACAUACUGGAAGAACACUCAUAACACUCACCAUAUCAGGUUUCAUUCCCAACAAUUGUAGCUCGUGGAACAGAUGGACAGCAUGUUUGGGACACUCAUUCUCAGCAUAUGCUCUGACCAUAAGAUUCCAUGUUGUGAGAUCCUUUUGAGACAUCUUACUAAAAAUUAUUUCAGCAUCAUCCAAGGACCCACGACUGACAUAGCCUGAUAUCAUUGUGUUACCAGUAACCACAUUUGUCAUGCCCGACAAACUUUCAAAAGUCAUGUCCCCACAUUUAGCAUAUGCAUCAAGUAUUGCAUUUCCA
Molecule: long non-coding RNA, 56821 nt
Filed under: Aquilegia coerulea
Lineage: Eukaryota; Viridiplantae; Streptophyta; Magnoliopsida; Ranunculales; Ranunculaceae
Description: long non-coding RNA (ACOE_LNC001426)
Source: RNAcentral